RNAcentral lists this long non-coding RNA (65126 nucleotides) under Brassica napus (rape). RNAcentral describes it as "long non-coding RNA (BNAP_LNC025729)". Lineage: Eukaryota; Viridiplantae; Streptophyta; Magnoliopsida; Brassicales; Brassicaceae. The record is from RNAcentral.
AUAACCAGUGUCAUGAGUAAUAGCGUGAGUCUUAGCAAGACUCCAUAGCCAGCAGGAGGUAGCAUCAUAUCCUGGCGUGAAUACCUGCCUCCAUUGGGGCCUGUUUACAUCUUGGGGACGAGUCAACUCAAUGGCAACAGGUCUCAAUGUGCUAUCAUCGUUGAGGAAGAAUAGUGUUCGAGAAGCAUAUAAGGUGCUAUCAUCCAACUCUCUCACUUUGUUCACAUACGGUAGAAGCAAAUCAUGAUAGUCCAACAUGAACAAUCUCUUGUUCUCCAGAGCCUGCAUGCACACAUCCAUUGAUAUUUAUUCAUUAUGGAAUUACUUCAUAUGGAUGGAUGGAUAUAUAUAUAUGCUUUUUUCUUUAAAACAUGUGGAUAUUAGUUAAUGUUACCUCAUCAAAUGACAUAACUCCUUUGAUUUCUCUUUCCACAAUCUCACUUGUAAUGAGUGAGUUGGGAUCACCAUAAACCGCAGGGUCUAGUUUGCUUUUCAACGGCCACUCCUAGAACAACAAUGUGAUCUCAACUAGCUUACUUUUUCUACUUUUAGUUUCAAAACCGAAACAUGAUUUUCUUUAUAAAAAGAAGUUCCAUCAAACCAUGUACGUACUAGGUGACUCUUCUGUGCUCAUGCACGGGUAUAAAAAUUUACAAAAUAAUCAAUUAUAAUUAAUAUCUUUUUGCUUUCACUUAUUGAUCAAUUUUAAAUCCUAUUAUAAUCAAUAUGUGUGUGAAAACUAAUGUAUGAAAAUUAAAUAUCAUGUUAUGUUUUAAAUAAAAUUAUGUUGUUAUCUCAAUUUAGUAUGAUAUUGUAUAUAUAACAAUUUAGAUAGGUUCAAUUAUUCUUUUUGGUAUAUUAGAUUGUUUAUAAUUUUCAACUAAAUCAUAAUUUAUUGUGGUUUAAAAUAUAUUAAAAUCAGAUUAUUGUAAUUAUAUUUAGUUCGAUUCAUCAUAUUAAUUUGUUAAUAUAUUUUAGAAAAAUCUCUAUUAUUUAAUGUAUAAGUUGUUUUAGGAGGCGUCAACAAAAAAAAAGUCGACAAAAAAAUUGUUUUAGGAGGAAAUAGAAAUAAAAAGUAAGUGUUACUUUAGUUAGAAUUGCACUAACCAAUAUAAACAGUGAUGUUCUGAAAGUUAUAUAAAUAACUAAAUUAUAAUAACUGAUUAAUGUUUUGCUUUCACUGGUUCAUAAAAUUUAUGAAGGUUUAUAACUUAUGUCUUGAAAAAUAAAUAUAAUUUUUAAUUAUAUUGAUAACUCAGUUUGACAUAUAAUUCUAGGUAUAAGAAUUCAGACCAAUUUGAUUAUUUACUUUUAAAAAAAAUUGCAACAAUUUAACUAAAUUAAAGUAACUGUUUUUCUUGGUUCUAAUUAUGGUAAGAUAUUGUGAAUCAUUUUGUUAUUUCAUUUAUUUUGGUUAUUCAUCUUACAUUAGUAAGUAUUUUAUAAAUCUUAUAUAAUUUCUAUAGUCCAAAACUAACAUUAUAAGAAGAAAAAAGAAACAACUUCGAAUUUAAAAUUAGUAGUAACUUUUAUUUGAAAAUAGUUAAUAUUUUCAAUCCGUUAAUAUGUUCUAAAUAAAAUAUCAUAACUACUAGAUAAUAUACAAAAUAAAUAAUAUGUUUUUAUGUAUUACUGAGUAUAUAUAUAUUUUAAACGAUAAUAUUUUGAAAAUUAAUUAAUUGUUAAACUAAUUUUUAUUAAUCCAGUAUACAUUUAUUACUGAGUUUUGAAAAAAAAAACAAUGUAAGAAUUGUUUAUAAAAGACUUUCCAAAUAGUUUUACAAAGAUUUAUAGAUAUUUUCCAUUUUGUUAUUUAAAAAAAUAUUAAUAAAAACUAAAAUAAAAUUUUUGAUUAUGACAAUUACAAGAAGUUUAAUUCAUUAAGGUUAUUAAUGUAGUUAGCCGUAUUAAAAAUUAACGUGAACACGAAACAUAGAAAAAUGACUUCUACGAUAAUAUAGCUAUUAGAUAAAGCGUAUAUAGCUUACUUGAACUAGCCCAAUGCAAAGGGGAUUAAGGCCAGCAAGUGUCUGGCGAGCAAACUCGUCGUCUCGGAUCCAUGAAAAUCUAUCCUCUGAAUCAAAGUAAAUGAUACAGUAAAGUGAGAUUAAUUGUAGCUAGCUGUAUAGAAUUGGAUAUAAUAAAUAUAUAAAUGGAGGAUUAAAAAAGAGCUUGUUACUGUCAAGGAGGAUAGGGGAAUCAAACUGGAGAAUAUCAUCAGCUUCAGCAACAGCUUUGACAAGUCUGGGGAUCAGAGGAAAAAGGCCAGCCUUCUUGGGAAGCUCGAUGCCUUCUUCAAAGAGAUCUUCUAUGGACUUGAAGUGUGGGAAGGGCAUGUUGGGAUCCACCAGAGCAGCUUCAAUCUGUGGGAACACAGCAGGAAGAGCCGCCAAGAUUGUCGUGCCCGUGAAUGCAGUGCCCUUGACUGUGGACCACUCCUCGUCUCUAGGGACAUAGAAAUCCCCUUUGCGUGUCUCAAUGGAGGGGUAUUUUCGGCUUGGUUUGCGACCAGUCUUGCACCGCCUUGGGUAUGGAUGAGAGAGGCCUCCCAUAACGGGACGGGCAAGUUUUGGAUCUUUGUCAGGAUCACCCACAUCGUUGUACACGUCAUAAUCGUAAACGCGCUCAAACUUUUUGAGUUCACCAUCACGCUCACGGUUCUUGCCUUGCAGGGUCUCCAGCUCCUCUUUUCGCAGCUGUUUAAGAGGCUCAGGAGUUUGGAGAGGCAAGUAGGACUUGUUGGAGAAGAAUGUCCGCUUGGUUGGGUCAUCGGACUUGGAGGCCACCCACGAGUUACAUGUAAAGGUAACGGGGCCGUCAGGUAGCUCAAGCUUCAUUUCCUUGAGGAAUAUCUCUCUAUGGGCCUCGUUUAAAACUCUGAUGGCACCCACCGCUCCAAAGUCUUUGGGCAUGUCAAAUACACACUCGUACUGAUCCUCACCAUGUGCAUCAAUCACUAAACGUCGUGCGUGAUCCUUCACCGGAUCCUUCUCCAUUAGCGUCUCUGACAUGUGUUAAUGACUUGGUUAAGUAUCAUUACCAGUAUUCACUACUGAUGCAUUAGCCUACUUUUUACUUCUUAUAUAAAAUAAUAAUAAUAUGUUUGCUUGAUAAUUGUACUCACGGGGGUCAGUCUCGGCGCUAAUAAGCUCGACAAGCAGUGAAACUCCAAGCAAAUCGGUGAAGCCAACGGAAGGUAAUAAGCCUUGUUUGGCCGUUAUAAUUCCCUUUACUUUGAUUUUCUUAACUCUUUCUUUCGCUCUCCAAUCAAUAUCAAACUUUGAGGCUGUGACCGUACAUCGUCCUCUGAGGUUUGGACGAGGGCACAGCUUGUAACGAUGUCCUGCCGAGAGGGGGUUGAUGAGUGCUGAUGGUUUAGUGAACUCAGAGCUGAGACUCUUUGCUAUGUUUAAGGUCUGGAGACUGGACGAUGCCUCUUUACAAAACAUCUUUUAUCUGUUUGCUUUUCUAUUUUGCUUACUCUCUUGUGCAUCCCCGCUACAUCUAUUUAUACAAGUAUAGAAAAUAUUAAAUCUUUUUCUCAUUUCAAAAAGUAGAAAAAAAUGUUUUCUACUGAGCUAUCAACAAACUUUCUCAACUUACUAUCUUAACUUCAUAAUAUUAAACUUUCUUCACUUGAUAUCUUAAAUCAAGUUACAUUUUUAAUCGAGUUUUUUUUUUUUGAUAAUCCAAGGAAUCCGAACACUUGGAGGGAACCCACUAUGUACCUGCUGAUUAGGUCUGCAGGUAAGCCUUCCCUGUCGAACCUCCAUAGUUUGUCAUAGACAUCUGAACUUAGCUCUAAUGAAUACUUUCCGGGCCAGAAACAAGACUCAAUGAUUCCACCUGCGUUGACGAGACUUUGGCGUCCACGAGCGUUGAUCUCCAUCGUGUAGCGGAAGUGGGGAUGCAAAAGCCUAUAGAUAGGAUGCAUGGCACUUAGUUGUCUGUUUGCCGCUAUAAUGUAUGGCUCCAUACAGCAGUGAGUCCUCAGCCUGUAAAAUUUUCCAUCUCUUAACAGCAAUAACACAUACGCAGAAUCUUCCAAAAAUAAAAAUAAAAAAAAUAACACAUACGCAGAGCCGUGCAAGCAUUCAUAACGAACAUAAGCGGUUGAAAAUAAAAUGUCUUAAUUUGUAUAAAAUUAAAUACUAUUGUCACAGAUGAAAAACACCGACAAUAUACAACAUUCAUUCUAAACAUAAUUUAUCCUAUUCUUAUUAUGCAAAUUGAUGACUAAACUUUAUUUUUAAUAUCCAGAAAUCGUUUUAAUGGAAAAAUAACCAAUUUUACUUCAUCAUAUUUUUAUCUUAUUUUCUAUUAUUGUCAGUUUUUCUAUUUAAAAAUAUUAUCUAGGUAUUCUACUAAUAAAACUACGAAAAUGUCAUUAGAAAUCCCUAAGACCAUAAGAAUCAAUCUUUUAUUACUUUCUUUACCCAACCCAUAUUUAGCUUAUCCAAAUUACUAUAACAUAAAUCCAUACACUAUACAUAGAUAUCUUCUUUUAUUUAGGAGUAAAAUUAGUAUACUUAAUUAAAAAUGUUUUAAUCGAAAACAAAAGAUGCCAUAUUAAGUUUAUAAAAAAAACGCUGCCCUAGGCGAACGCUUCAUUUUUCAUAACAGAGGCACGGCUCUGCACAUACGUCUAAUGUGUAUAACCAUAUAUACACGAGAGGAUCAAGUUCGUUCAAUACCAGUGGGAAAUAAGCUGGUGAUAACCAGCGUCAUGAGUAAUAGCGUGAGUCUUAGCAAGACUCCAUAGCCAGCAGGAGGUAGCAUCAUAUCCUGGCGUGAAUACCUGCCUCCAUUGGGGCCUGUUUACAUCUUGGGGACGAGUCAACUCAAUGGCAACAGGUCUCAAUGUGCUAUCAUCGUUGAGGAAGAAUAGUGUUCGAGAAGCAUAUAAGGUGCUAUCAUCCAACUCUCUCACUUUGUUCACAUACGGUAGAAGCAAAUCAUGAUAGUCCAACAUGAACAAUCUCUUGUUCUCCAGAGCCUGCAUGCACACAUCCAUUGAUAUUUAUUCAUUAUGGAAUUACUUCAUAUGGAUGGAUGGAUAUAUAUAUAUGCUUUUUUCUUUAAAACAUGUGGAUAUUAGUUAAUGUUACCUCAUCAAAUGACAUAACUCCUUUGAUUUCUCUUUCCACAAUCUCACUUGUAAUGAGUGAGUUGGGAUCACCAUAAACCGCAGGGUCUAGUUUGCUUUUCAACGGCCACUCCUAGAACAACAAUGUGAUCUCAACUAGCUUACUUUUUCUACUUUUAGUUUCAAAACCGAAACAUGAUUUUCUUUAUAAAAAGAAGUUCCAUCAAACCAUGUACGUACUAGGUGACUCUUCUGUGCUCAUGCACGGGUAUAAAAAUUUACAAAAUAAUCAAUUAUAAUUAAUAUCUUUUUGCUUUCACUUAUUGAUCAAUUUUAAAUCCUAUUAUAAUCAAUAUGUGUGUGAAAACUAAUGUAUGAAAAUUAAAUAUCAUGUUAUGUUUUAAAUAAAAUUAUGUUGUUAUCUCAAUUUAGUAUGAUAUUGUAUAUAUAACAAUUUAGAUAGGUUCAAUUAUUCUUUUUGGUAUAUUAGAUUGUUUAUAAUUUUCAACUAAAUCAUAAUUUAUUGUGGUUUAAAAUAUAUUAAAAUCAGAUUAUUGUAAUUAUAUUUAGUUCGAUUCAUCAUAUUAAUUUGUUAAUAUAUUUUAGAAAAAUCUCUAUUAUUUAAUGUAUAAGUUGUUUUAGGAGGCGUCAACAAAAAAAAAGUCGACAAAAAAAUUGUUUUAGGAGGAAAUAGAAAUAAAAAGUAAGUGUUACUUUAGUUAGAAUUGCACUAACCAAUAUAAACAGUGAUGUUCUGAAAGUUAUAUAAAUAACUAAAUUAUAAUAACUGAUUAAUGUUUUGCUUUCACUGGUUCAUAAAAUUUAUGAAGGUUUAUAACUUAUGUCUUGAAAAAUAAAUAUAAUUUUUAAUUAUAUUGAUAACUCAGUUUGACAUAUAAUUCUAGGUAUAAGAAUUCAGACCAAUUUGAUUAUUUACUUUUAAAAAAAAUUGCAACAAUUUAACUAAAUUAAAGUAACUGUUUUUCUUGGUUCUAAUUAUGGUAAGAUAUUGUGAAUCAUUUUGUUAUUUCAUUUAUUUUGGUUAUUCAUCUUACAUUAGUAAGUAUUUUAUAAAUCUUAUAUAAUUUCUAUAGUCCAAAACUAACAUUAUAAGAAGAAAAAAGAAACAACUUCGAAUUUAAAAUUAGUAGUAACUUUUAUUUGAAAAUAGUUAAUAUUUUCAAUCCGUUAAUAUGUUCUAAAUAAAAUAUCAUAACUACUAGAUAAUAUACAAAAUAAAUAAUAUGUUUUUAUGUAUUACUGAGUAUAUAUAUAUUUUAAACGAUAAUAUUUUGAAAAUUAAUUAAUUGUUAAACUAAUUUUUAUUAAUCCAGUAUACAUUUAUUACUGAGUUUUGAAAAAAAAAACAAUGUAAGAAUUGUUUAUAAAAGACUUUCCAAAUAGUUUUACAAAGAUUUAUAGAUAUUUUCCAUUUUGUUAUUUAAAAAAAUAUUAAUAAAAACUAAAAUAAAAUUUUUGAUUAUGACAAUUACAAGAAGUUUAAUUCAUUAAGGUUAUUAAUGUAGUUAGCCGUAUUAAAAAUUAACGUGAACACGAAACAUAGAAAAAUGACUUCUACGAUAAUAUAGCUAUUAGAUAAAGCGUAUAUAGCUUACUUGAACUAGCCCAAUGCAAAGGGGAUUAAGGCCAGCAAGUGUCUGGCGAGCAAACUCGUCGUCUCGGAUCCAUGAAAAUCUAUCCUCUGAAUCAAAGUAAAUGAUACAGUAAAGUGAGAUUAAUUGUAGCUAGCUGUAUAGAAUUGGAUAUAAUAAAUAUAUAAAUGGAGGAUUAAAAAAGAGCUUGUUACUGUCAAGGAGGAUAGGGGAAUCAAACUGGAGAAUAUCAUCAGCUUCAGCAACAGCUUUGACAAGUCUGGGGAUCAGAGGAAAAAGGCCAGCAUUCUUGGGAAGCUCGAUGCCUUCUUCAAAGAGAUCUUCUAUGGACUUGAAGUGUGGGAAGGGCAUGUUGGGAUCCACCAGAGCAGCUUCAAUCUGUGGGAACACAGCAGGAAGAGCCGCCAAGAUUGUCGUGCCCGUGAAUGCAGUGCCCUUGACUGUGGACCACUCCUCGUCUCUAGGGACAUAGAAAUCCCCUUUGCGUGUCUCAAUGGAGGGGUAUUUUCGGCUUGGUUUGCGACCAGUCUUGCACCGCCUUGGGUAUGGAUGAGAGAGGCCUCCCAUAACGGGACGGGCAAGUUUUGGAUCUUUGUCAGGAUCACCCACAUCGUUGUACACGUCAUAAUCGUAAACGCGCUCAAACUUUUUGAGUUCACCAUCACGCUCACGGUUCUUGCCUUGCAGGGUCUCCAGCUCCUCUUUUCGCAGCUGUUUAAGAGGCUCAGGAGUUUGGAGAGGCAAGUAGGACUUGUUGGAGAAGAAUGUCCGCUUGGUUGGGUCAUCGGACUUGGAGGCCACCCACGAGUUACAUGUAAAGGUAACGGGGCCGUCAGGUAGCUCAAGCUUCAUUUCCUUGAGGAAUAUCUCUCUAUGGGCCUCGUUUAAAACUCUGAUGGCACCCACCGCUCCAAAGUCUUUGGGCAUGUCAAAUACACACUCGUACUGAUCCUCACCAUGUGCAUCAAUCACUAAACGUCGUGCGUGAUCCUUCACCGGAUCCUUCUCCAUUAGCGUCUCUGACAUGUGUUAAUGACUUGGUUAAGUAUCAUUACCAGUAUUCACUACUGAUGCAUUAGCCUACUUUUUACUUCUUAUAUAAAAUAAUAAUAAUAUGUUUGCUUGAUAAUUGUACUCACGGGGGUCAGUCUCGGCGCUAAUAAGCUCGACAAGCAGUGAAACUCCAAGCAAAUCGGUGAAGCCAACGGAAGGUAAUAAGCCUUGUUUGGCCGUUAUAAUUCCCUUUACUUUGAUUUUCUUAACUCUUUCUUUCGCUCUCCAAUCAAUAUCAAACUUUGAGGCUGUGACCGUACAUCGUCCUCUGAGGUUUGGACGAGGGCACAGCUUGUAACGAUGUCCUGCCGAGAGGGGGUUGAUGAGUGCUGAUGGUUUAGUGAACUCAGAGCUGAGACUCUUUGCUAUGUUUAAGGUCUGGAGACUGGACGAUGCCUCUUUACAAAACAUCUUUUAUCUGUUUGCUUUUCUAUUUUGCUUACUCUCUUGUGCAUCCCCGCUACAUCUAUUUAUACAAGUAUAGAAAAUAUUAAAUCUUUUUCUCAUUUCAAAAAGUAGAAAAAAAUGUUUUCUACUGAGCUAUCAACAAACUUUCUCAACUUACUAUCUUAACUUCAUAAUAUUAAACUUUCUUCACUUGAUAUCUUAAAUCAAGUUACAUUUUUAAUCGAGUUUUUUUUUUUUGAUAAUCCAAGGAAUCCGAACACUUGGAGGGAACCCAACUAGCGCCUAAGUACACCUCCGCAGAAGGCAUCCUGGGAUUAAUCAAGUUUAUUUUGAUUCAUACUCUUAGAAAUAAAAAUAUAUUUGAUAAAAUUAUAUAUAAUUUGAAAUACUUUCUUUUGGGAGAAAAUUAUGGGAGAAAAAAUUGAAGUGUUGAUCACUCCGGAGUUGCAUAGACUAAUCAAACUUGUAACUUUUUAAAGACUCACCAAUCAAUUGGAGCUUCAGAUAUACAGCAAUAACCACCAAAUUAAAACUGUUGUUCUAUCAGUUUAGUAAUAUAUGGUUCACAUCAAAUGCCAACCAUAAUUUUAAUUUUUGAUCACAUAUUUUUUGAAUUAUGUAUCUGGUGUUAAGUUAAUUUAGAACAGAUAUUUUUUAUCGUUAAGGUAUAGUAGUUUAAGAAUUCACUUUUCUAAAUAUUGAUUAAAAUAUAUUAAUACUAAAAUUAUUAGUUCUCGUAUUUUUAGUAUGCAUGAUAUGACUUAAGAAAUAAUUUUGAUUAGAAAUAAAAAUAUAGUUGUUGAUUAAAAAUACUUUAAUAAUUUAUUCAUAUAUUUACUAUUAAAAUUCCAAUUAUUUGAAAUAAAAAAAAUUACAUAUUUAUCUUCUAUAACUGAUUACAGUUUUAGAAAUAUAAAUAUUUAGAAAAUAAAAUUUAAUUGUCAAAUAUAUUUGAAUUCAUUAGUAGUACUAAUAUAAUUAGGUUUGGAAAAAUCAAAUCGAGCAAGACUUGUAAAAGAAAACUUCUCACAUAAUAUUAUAAUAAUUUGUGAUAUUUUUAUUUUGAGAUACUUUUUAAUUUUUUUAUUUCCAGAACAUCAGAAUAAAUUUUUUUAAGUUAAAAAUUUUGUUCAAAAAAUAGUGUAAGAACUUUAAAUUUAAUAAUAGUAAUUGAUCAUUAUUAUUUUGAUUCAUUAAGUAUGUAUAUGUAGCUGACACUCGUGGGAGUUUACUUGAGGAUAGAUCGAUGAAUAUAUAUGAAAUGAUAAAAUGUUUUUUUUAUUUGGUCCAUUGGUUUUUUGUUGAUUUAUCUAGCAAAAAAUAAGUCAUAUUAAAAGUUAAAGUUUAUGAAAAUUAAUAUGUGCAAGAUUAUAGGAAUAUUUUAUAAUUUUGAUGUUUUAAAUUUGAUGGAAAGAGAAAUUGUGGUCUAUAGUAAAUAUGAUUCAAGGAUAUACUGGCACAAUAAAGGAUGAAGAAUACGUUGUUGUAAAAAUACCGAGAAAGAUUAGUAUGACGAUUGAGACGAUAUUCAGGAUAAAACUGUGCAACAAUAUGUUUGUGUUUCUCCGGUUAUAUUACUAAUCAGGUAAUAAAAAUCAUAACUUGUAGUAUGACGUGGGAUCAGUAAGAAAAAAAGUAUAUGUUGAAGUCGUUUUUAAACAAGUUGUAUAUGCAGUGGAGGUUGUACGAACUGAAAAUGUAUAAUCUGGUGUUCUUAUUGCGUAUGUAACAAAUUCAAUUAAAUCAUCCGUGAUCUGUAACAGUUAUAAACGAGGACUAAGAGAGAGCCAUGAUUCUAAUGUCUUCUUUUGCCUUCUCCAUGGUGUUCAAUAAGUUUAAGUUCCUUUUUAUACUACUCAGUCGUAAGCACAAAUGUAUCAUUAUACGUAGUAAGAGAUGUUAAUCCAACCCAAGAUGGCUUAAAGCAAAGAGAAUGCAAGUGGUCUUUUAAGCUAAGUAAUUAAGUUUGGUUUAAAAUACAUAAGGCAAUGAUCUCAAUUCAAAUCAAUUAAGAAACUCAGCAAAUAACAAGUUUUAAUCAAGGUUUGAAAGGUUAAACUGAUGGAGUUGGGUAACCAAUUAAGGAUAAUAGAUUUCAAACUUUGAAUGCUAAACACAAUCAAUUAACAUGUUUCUUCAACCUAGGAUCUUAAAUAUAAACUAAUCCACUACAGUGACAGUAACUCCUAUGUUAAUCAUGCAUUUAACAUCAACUCAUGUUGGCUAACUACACUCAAUCAUGCAUUGGAAACAAGUCCUAAUAGUAAUAAUACAUCUCUAGUAUGCAAAACAUCAAUUCUCGUUGGCUAAGCAAGCAAAACACAAGAUGAAAUUCAUUCAAGCAUUUCAUCGAACACUUCUCAGCCAUGAAAUCACCUUAAAAAGUAACAAAUUCUAAUCUAGCAUUAAAACACAUUAUAUGUACGAAACAAUGAUAAUCUAGCCCUAAGCAUCACAAUUCAUACAUCAAUAAUCAUAAUAAACCUUACCCAUGAGUCUAAGAGGAGACUAUUCUAUAAUCACCAAAUUCAAUAAGGUUAGACAUUUCCACGAAAACCCUUUAGCACAUGUUAAAUUCAAGGGUAACAAUUAUAUAAAGGAAAAUAAUCAAUAUAAAUAAAAGUUUAGAAGAAUAAAAUGCUUAAAAGAAGAUAAAAUCCAAAACGGAAAAGGUAAAUAAUUUUCAGAGAAAAAGAGUUAUUUGGGGUUUUUUUCCGAAAACAUUUAGACUUUUAAAACUAGUACCAGUUGACCAAAAUGAAACUACGUCAAGUUUAUUAUAGGAUCAAUCAAUUCUAAGAAGGGGAUCAACUGAUCAGACGUUGAAUCGAUCACUUAUGGUUUCUCGGAUCAACCGAUUCAAUCAUCUCGACGAUUUCCACGUUGCACUCCAGAUCGAACGAUCAGAUGAAUUUAGAUUUAUCAAUCGGUCGCUUCUUUGAGUCAAUCGAUUAUGAAAUCAUGCUUCUAAGUAUCCAUCUCCUUUGGUAAAUCUUCCUUUGCUAAGAUAAUUAGCUAAAUCAAAAUUUUAAUAGUUUUUCAACAUAUUACACCAUACAAUAGAAAUCAGGAAAGAACUAUUUCUUAGUUGAAUUAGAGUGUUCGUAUUUUGUUGUUUUCUAGAGAAGUGCUCCACUGCAUGUUUUUGUUGUUGCUUAAAGAAUUUACUACAUUAUUUCUUAGUUGAAUUAUUAGAAUGUUUGUUAUUGUUUUGUUGUUUUCUAGAAAAGUGCUUCCCUGCACGUUUUUGUUGUUGUUACCAAACUUAUAACUAAAAAUUGAUGAAUGGCAUCGUACGUAUCUCUGUCGGAUUUAUGGGGACGCACUUGCCGGUAAUGGCCAGAAGUUUAUGUCAUAAACAGAGGAGUUACAUGAAAUAAAUGCUAAGAGCAUGAUUAUUGGGGGUUUUUAUGGUGAGGUUUUUAGCGGAAUAUAAGAUUUCGUCUCUUAACUUUUAACUAAAAAAACUAAGAACCGACUCUUAAAUAACUAGUUUGAUAUGACAUAAACUUAUUGAUUGUGUUUGAUAUGGGUCCAUCUGGGACUAUAGUGUAGACUUAUUGAUUGUGUUUUGGACAUUUUCAAAUUUAGAAAAAUGCUAGUUUUGAGAUGAACCUGUUUAAUUUUGAUUUUGUAAAUAAAAAUACGCUUGCGACAAAAAUAUAUUUAAUUUUUUUAAUAAUAAAUAUUUUAAUUUGUUACAUGUUUGAUGGAAAAAAUUUGUAUAUCUCUUAAACAACAACAGUAACCCAACCCAUCAUAUAAUCAUACAAAUGAUAAAAUUCUUUAUUAAAACAUUAUUUGAUAUUCUAAAUUUUAACCAGUGUGAAUUAGAUUAGUGCGAAGCAAAGUUGAGUGGACUACUUUCAUGUGGUUUACGCAAGGAGUCCCUCAAUAAUAUUUUAUCAUUUGGUUAACUGUCAAAACAGGUUGGCUACCAGAGAUAGAAUAUGAAUCUAAGAAAUAACGCAGGGUUGUCAAUUAUGUGGUGAGAGAAACCAAAUAAGAGAUCAUAUUUUCUUUACUUGUCCUUAUUUUUACACUGUCUGGGAACGACCGCGAUCGCUCGGUCAUUUAGACUCAGUUAUAGCCAAAAUGGUAUUCUAGACUAAUAUCUAUCACAUAUGGAGGGAACGAAAUGUUGAUCGUCACAAAUGGACAACAACUGAACAACUCACUUGAAUAGUUGAUAAGGUAUUAAGGAAUAGAACAAUAUCACUAAAGUACAAACCAAGACAUCAGUAUGCAGGGCUACUACAUAAAUGGUUUCAACAUUCUAUUUGAUUUUGGCUACUUUCCUAUUCCUUUCUUUGUCACACAUAUGUUAACCACUUAUAGAAUUUGCAUAUAUUUUACUCGUUUGUAAUGCAUCUCUUUUAGAUGAAUAAUAAAUCUAAAACUUCAUCAAAAUUUUUAUAUUCUAUCUUUAAAACUAAAUAUUUUAUAGAAAAAAUUAUAUAUUUUAAAAAAUUAUUUACUUUCUAAAUUAUAUGUAUGUUAAUAAAAUAUACUGUAAAAUCCAUUAAUUUUGUUACUUUGUGUAUUAUUACUUAGAUUAUUUAAAUGUAAAAAAAAAUUAAUAUAUUAAGUUAUCUAUAAUUUUUAUUUUGUAAUUAUUUUAAUUAUACGAUGAAAUGUAAAGAGAAACAUUAUUAAAUUUUUUUAUCUUAUAUAAAUUGAAGCCGAAUUAAUAUUAAUUUAUUAUACUACUAUAAUAGUGAAUAUGAAUUAUUUGACUGUUAAAAACUUACUACUAAUUUUUAUAACUUUGAUAUUAUAAAAGAAAUAUACACCUGGCCUUCAUGGACCAAUCGGGGUUUGGAGCUGAAUCAAUCAGAUAUUAAAAUUUUCAAUUUUUCAGUUUAGUCAGAUUAUGAUUCGAUUUGAGUUUAGUCGGAUUCGGAUUUGGGUAUAGUAUCAUUUCCAAAAAUACGGUAGAACCCAAUAUAAUUUUUGGUUUUGGUUUGGAUUCAAUCAAAUUUUUGGUUUUCAGUUUAUGACUUCCAUCCCCAUUUCUAUAUUAUAAAAGUUCAGUUCGGAUUUUUUCCGGGUUUAGUCAGGUUAUGAUUCGGUUCGGAUCGAUUUGGGUUUAGUAACAUUUCUAAAAGCCGGUAGAUAAAAAUUUGAAAUGAGAAAUGUGAAAUGCUCACAAUUAUUUUUGGUUCCAAUGUAAUAUUUGACAAGUGAAAUUAGAAAACAAAACUCAAAAACUAUGUGCAAAUACAUCAUAUCUGAUAAACCAGAAGUAGGAACACAUCAAACCCGACAAACAUUUUGGUUAAAAAGGAGUGAAGAAUGAACAUUGUUCCGGAUCAGACGAGUUCAACUUGGGUUAAGCCAACGCGGAUUCACUCACCCGCGUCGCCGAGUCGAGAGGACGCAACAUGAGCUCCAGCACGGGUCGAACGACGCGGGAUCCAUUACCCGCGCGCAUGAAGAAGCAGCAUCAUCGACGAUCCAACGCGGCUUGGAUCACGCGGGAUGGCCUACCCACACGCACGAGAAUGGAGCUGCUCGACGUCUUGACGCGGGUUGAGCUCACGCGGGUUCCCUUACCCGCGUCACGAAGAGAAGGAACCGAUAGAGUCACGUGGGACAGAGCCACGCGGGACAGAGCCACGCAGGAUUGCCUACCCGCGCGCAUGACAGAGAAACCUCGACAACGAUCCGACGUGGGUUUGCUGACGCGGGUUGUGCCCGUCCAUUUCUACCCGAGUCGAAACUUAUCUUUAGUCGGAGUUUAAUGUUUUAAGGGUCUUUUUAGACUUUUUAAUGGAAACCAUUAGGUUUAGCAAAGACAUAUAAAUAUUCUUGUAAUCCCAAAGUUGGGACUUAUCUUGUUUUCUAUCUAAUCAAAAAGGAACCUUUAGGUAAAAAACCUAAUCUUGAUUAUUAUCCUUUGGGAUUGCUUUGUUAAUUUGAUCACUAAUCAUGAUUAACACCAAAUCAUAAUUGAUUCUUGGGUUUAUCAUGAAGAUUAGUGAGUAGUCAUAUUUGGAUUCAUGGGUUAGGGAGACUAAGGGUGAUUAGGCUAGAUCUAAGGUGUUGUAGCACAUAUCCAUCUUGUUCCUUGCUAGUAAAGUGCUUUAAUACAGUUUUAGAGUUGACCUCUCUAAAGUUGAGCUUUAGGCAUUUCACACCCGAAAGGUGUUCGAUGAAAUGCCUGAACCAACUCUACUAAGCUUUUAACAUUCUUUACCAAAGAGAUUUGAUGUUAAAGGUGUUAAGAUGGCUAAUGAACUUGAAAUUAAUGAUUGCUUAGAUAAUAUUCAACCAAAGAAAUUUAAUGCUUGAGUUAUCUUAGUGAAUGAGCUUUCAUCUAGAGAUAGAGUUUGUUUAGGAUUGUGUCUAGGUCUAAGGUUGAUAGAUUGAUUGAAAGAUACUACCUUUAGAUUGAAACUUGAUCACCCAAGGUCAAUUCCCUUAGCCCAUGAAUUCUCCCAUCGCAUAAGAAAGAAAAGCUUUGCUCUUUAUUGCAUUUUAGUAGUAUUCUAGUUCAAAAUCAUCUUGCCAAUUGAUAGCAUUUAGAUUAAGCAUGGUCUUGCAUUCCCUUUGCUUUAGGAUCACUUAGAACUGGUUUGACAUCCUUUAUACUAUAACAUUUGAUUAGGAGCCUUGAAAACUCCUAACAUCAAAUUGGCGUCGUUGCCAAGUUGAUUGUGACAUUGGGAUUUAGUCACUUGCUUGAGACUAAGUCAAUUUUUGUUUAAUUGUGUUAUUGCUUCUCUUUCUUUUUCUCCCUUUGCAUUUCAGGUGUAUGAUCACAAGAAGCAGAGGUGCAACAAACCUAGUUCCAAGAGUGGAAUACAUUAGAGCUCUUGAGAGGGAGAUUGCAAGAAAGAGAAGAGAAGUAGAGCAACAGGCUCACUUGCAAAGAUUGGGGUUUGAUAUGGAGAAUCUGCCUCAAGAUGGUGAUGCCCUAGGGGGCAUUGAUCCAAGAGCUGAUCACCUUAGACCACAGCGCCAGCCACAACAUCCACCGUGCCAAGCUCGUGCCAUUGGAGCCUAUGAUCAACCUCACAUUAAUGGUCAUAGGUUGGGAAUCAGAGCACCACCAGUGGAGAACAACAACUUUGAGAUCAAGUCAGGACUGCUCAACACCAUAGAGAACAACAAGUAUCAUGGCCUUGCUGCUGAAGACCCUUUUGAUCACUUGUACAAGUUUGAUAAAUAUUGUGCCUUGUCCAAGACAAAUGGUGUUUCUGAAGAUGCUUUCAAGUUGAAGUUGUUCCCUUUCUCUUUGGGAGACAAGGGACACCAGUGGGAUAAGACUCUCCCAAGUGACACUGUCACUACUUGGGAAGAGUGUAAGAGAGAUUUCCUAGACAAGUUCUUCUCUACUUCAAGAACAGCUAAGAUCGGAAAUGAAAUCUCUGGGUUUCAACAGAAAGGUCUAGAAAGCUUCAAUGAAGCAUGGGAGAGGUUCAAGGGCUACUGUUCUCAAUGCCCUCAUCAUGGUUUCAGCAAGGAGAGUUUGCUUAGCACUUUCUAUAGAGGAGCUCUACCACAGUGAAGAAACAGGCUUGAUACUGCCAGCAAUGGUUUCUUCUUGGGAAGAACUGAGGAAGAGGCAGAGGAACUGGUAGAGAACAUGGCCAAGAGUGACUCGGUCUACAGUGAAGAGCAUGAUAUGAUCAACAUAAGUGAUGAUCAGCAGACAAAGAAAGAGAUCAAGUCCUUGCAAGAAAAGAUGGAUCUGCUUCUUUCCAACCAAGCUAAUCAGGAGCAGAUGAACUUUGUGGGUGGUCCUAGUCAAGAGGUUCCUCCUAAGGUCAAUGAGGUUGAUGGUUUGGAAGGCCAAGAAGAACUAUGCUUCAUCAACAACAAUGGUACUUGGUACAGAAAGGAACCUAACUUUUAGUACAACAACUACCAGCAAAGGUCUUACUCCAACAACCAGCAAGGAGGCUACCAGCCAAAGCAGAACACACAGCAAGGGAGCUAUCAUCCUAGGCAAAACAUCCCUCCUAGUUUCAACAAUCACAGCAAUCAGUCUACUCAAGUUCAAGGAAGUUCUUCACAAGCUCCAGCUUCAGAUACAAGUGUGGAUACAAUGUUCAAAAAACUCUUGGAUUUUCAGGCAAAGAAUGAGAAAAUAAUGGGCUAUGAGUUCAAGAACAUUCACUCCAAGAUUGAUGGAAGCUACAAUGAGCUCAACAACAAGAUCCGAAAUUUGGAGAACUAGUUUGCUUCUAUGAACUCUCAGCCAAGUCGCCAACAAGGGUCAUUACCUGGAAAGCCAGAGGAAAAUCCCAAGGAAACAAUGAAAGCAAUCACCCUACAGAGUGGUAGAGAGUUGUCUCCAAGAGUUCUCACCAAGGAUGGUGAAAAACAAGGUGGGGAGGUGGCCAUCAACAUUGAUGAUGAAGUGGUGAUUGUAGAUGAGAAGGUUGAUGAAAACAUUCUGGAAAAGAUUGUUGAAGCUAACACUACAAGAAAACAAGUAGUUCCCGACUGCAGAAUCAGAAGCGAAACAGUCGCAAAUGACGUUUUACGACUGAAUAGCGACUACGAAGCAUGGUCAUCAAUCAACGCGUCGGUAAUUACAUUGGUCGUAAAUCAGUCGCUAUAUUACGACUGUUCUAUGACUAAUUUACAACUAAACAAUUCCGUCGGCAUAUAGUCGUCUAAUAAUGAUAAUAUGUUACGACUACACUCCGAUUGUUUCACGUCUAAUAUAGGACUAUUCUUAGUCGAUUACUUAGUUUAUCAGAAGUCGUUAAUCAGUCGUUAAACAGUCGUUUAUUAGCAGUCAUUAAUUAGUCGGAACAUAAAGUCAUAGUGUAGUCGUUAAUUUUGCGACAGUUUAACAACUAGUUGUUUAGUCCGAGUGUAGUCGCAAUGCAGUCGCUAAUUUUGCAAUCAUUUAGCGACUACUUGUUUAGUCUGAGUGUAGUCACAGUUGUUGUCGCAGUUCAGUUGUUAAUUUUGCGACUACUUAGCGACUACAUGUUUUUAUCAGUCGCUGUUUAGUCGUAAAAUGUUGUAGUUUUAUCCAACUGAAUUACGACUCCCCUUUUGGUUUCUUUGAAUUUGCCAUUCCGAUUUUAGGUACUUUCUGGUUUGUAAUGCUAAUAAAUCUAUGCUAUUGAGCAUUGUAAAAUUAGAAAGCAGUAGUUAAUUUUAAAACUGAAAAUGUUAAAGCCCCAAAAGUUUGAAACAAGCAACUAAACAAAAGAACUUACAAAAGUCAUAAGUUUCUAGGUAAAUAAACAGGAAAGCAUGAUCAGGUGCUGGAAUUAGCAGCUACAAACUCAUUAUAUAAUGGAUUAGUUGCAGCUACAAACUUCCCCACUAUAGAGAACUCCUUGAUCUGCUUUGAUUGCUCUGCAAUACAAGCACCUUGCCCUUCAAUAAUAGCAGCUUGUGCUGCAUUAGAAGCAGCCUGCUCUUCUAUUUUGCAGUGAGCAUCUUCAAGAAGCUUCUUCAUGUUGAGGAAUGCAGAAGAAGAGAAUUCACUGAACGUCCGUUUCCCAUUGACGAGAGUUUGCUGGAGGCUUCCAAUGCCAUAGUGCUUUCCUCUUUCAUUUGUGAAAGUUGACUACAACAACAAAUCAAAUUGUUACUACAAAGCAGAAGAAAAAAGUAUCAAGUAUAAAGAACAAAUAAAAAAAUAAAAGAAACAGCUUACCAAACGAAAUAUCUCGUUAUCCUCCUCUAUGGAGAGCUGUGGAUCAUUGGAAGCACUGUCUGAAGUCUGUGAGUUUUCAGCCUCAAGGGCAGUCAACUUGGCUUCUUUGUUCUUCUUAUACAUCUCUGCAACCUUCUCUGCUUUCAAAUCGACAAAGGUCCCAUCAUUUCUUGUAUGUGUCUCCAUGGAAACUUCACCAAGAGUAACUGGUCUGCCCAAUUUCUCAACCUAAAAUGGUUAAAAAGGAAAGUAAAGGUUAAAUGACCCAAAUACAAGUUAAACUUGUAUGAUUGGAGGGAAAAAGGACUUACCAUUUCAUGUUUGAUUUGUUCGAAAGACUUCUGGCCGGAGUUGUGCUUGUCUGGACCAAGUCCGUUCCGGUCAGACAACCGAGAGUCUGAUGCUGUCUGACUCUUUUUUUCCGCUUCGGGAGUGUCCCAAUACGCUGUCAUUUGUUCCCACAGUUCACCGUGGAUCCAGGAUGGUCGCACUCGAGACCUCCUACGAACGCUAACCAUGUCCUUCAUACGUCGCUGACAUACCGCCUCAAAUUUCUCCUGAACAAUACCAGUGUGUAUUUGAUCUCAAGUGUGAGUUUUCUACAAAAAAAAACAGAGAAGGUUGAUGUUAAAAAUCAAAUUAAACAAAAAUUGAGAUUAAAUAUAGAAGAUAAAACUUAACUGCAAAUUCUACAAAUAUCGUCUCUCUUUUGUUCUGAGGCACAACACUCCAACUGUAAUAAGCUUCAUCAAACUUUUUUGUAAAAGUCUUUGUGAUCCUCCGGGUCAGUUUCCCUUUGUCACGACCAAACCUCAAAACACAGAAACAAAAUAAUGAAUAUGUUAGAAUGAAACACAAUUAAUUAUUCAGUGACAAAGCCAACCAAAGCAAGCCAAAGUCAAUUAAAGAACCAGUGACUAACGAAAAUGCAAGUAAAUAACAUUAACAAUCACUCCAAACACAGGAACCAAUGACUCGUCAAGCCUCAAGUAUAUAACAUCAACAAUCACUCCAAAUAUUAAUCUUACAGUAGCAAAGCCUCAAUUAAAGAACUAGUGACUAACGAAAAUGCAAGUAAUUAAUCUUACAGUAGCAAAGCCUCAAGUAAAUAACAUCAACAAUCACUCCAAAUAUUCACAAACUUGACCCUGAGAACUGCUGGAGAAGUCGCGUCGCUGACGUUUCAGACCGUCGAGAUUGUGGCGGUGGAUAUGGUUGAUGAACAGGCCCUGAAGCAGCUUGAGUUUGGGCCUCUGAGUCUUGGAAGAGCUGCCUCGGAGGUGGGUAGUCACUCACGCCUGGUGGAGAUCGGCGGUUGGGGACAGGAGGAGCUGUCGUCUUAGAAACGAACUGGUACUGCUAGGGAAGGGGAGAUUUUUGUGAACGUUUCUGCUUCUUGUUUGAUGACAUCGUUUCAAAGAGAGAUGAGAGAUUAGGGUUCUUUAGGUCUCAAAAGAGAGAUGAGGCAUUUCUGGAAUUCGGCGAUUAGGAUUUGGACAUAGUGAGAUUCGAGAGAGGGUGAGAGAUUAGGGUUCUUUGGUUUCGGUGGAAUCGUAAGAGAGUGAGAUGUCUUUGUUAGGGUUGUCUGAGUGUAUUAGGCUUAGGUUGGUUUUGUUUUGGUUUUGGGUUUUGGGUCUAAAAAUUGGGCUUAGCGGGAUUUGAUUAAUUGGUUAGGCGGGAGUUAGGAAAAUUUUGCAAUUGGGUUUACACUUUACCGGGGGACUUUAAAAAAUUCAGGGGGAAAAUCGGGUUUAGGGUCUAGCAAUUUAGGGUUUAGCAAAUUUAGGGUUUAGAAAUUUUUUUCUUUGCUUAUAACAAUUUACGGUCUAGCAAUUAUUUUUUUUUGAUCAAUGGAUAUAGCAAUUUAGGAUAUAACACUUAACAAUAUAAAAACACAUUAUUAGGAAGCAAACAACACAUUAUUUAAAAGUAAAGAACAUAAGUUUAGGGAUAUGACUUAAUAAGUUAUGGUAAAACAUUUUAGGAUGGUGUUUCUCCAUCUUCACCUUCAUCAUCAGAAGAAGUCGAGGAUAGAUUACAUUGGAAUUCAUCCUCCGGUUCUGCAUCUUCGACAUCAAUAUCAAGAUUAAUCGGUUCUCCUCGAGCAUGUAACAAAUGGUCGACUGGUAUAUCUUCAAUUGUAGUCAUCAAUACAUCAUCAUCAUUUUCUUGUUGUAACACUUUCGGUUCGUUGUCUUCGUAUUCUCCUGAAAUGAUUCCCCUCGGAUUCACUUUUAAACAUUGUACCACAACUGCUUUGGUUUCUUUACGUACGGAUACGGGAUAUAAUAAACUUGAUGUGCUUGAGAUGUUGUUAUCAUAUAAUAAAAAUUUAAUAAUACAUAUUUAUUUAUAUUAAUUAAUAUGUAUAAAUAAUACGUACGUACCUAGAGUAAAUGGUUCAUAUUUAUAGUAUUUCCACGAUGAAAGAACGUCCACGAUGCCACCAUUGCUCCGCCGAGUGCCUCUACCAAUCACAGGAUCAUACCACUUACACUUAAAAAGUGUAAUUUUCAAAUUCACCACGAACAAAUGGUCGACUGGUAUAUCUUCAAUUGUAGUCAUCAAUACAUCAUCAUCAUUUUCUUGUUGUAACACUUUCGGUUCGUUGUCUUCGUAUUCUCCUGAAAUGAUUCCCCUCGGAUUCACUUUUAAACAUUGUACCACAACUGCUUUGGUUUCUUUACGUACGGAUACGGGAUAUAAUAAACUUGAUGUGCUUGAGAUGUUGUUAUCAUAUAAUAAAAAUUUAAUAAUACAUAUUUAUUUAUAUUAAUUAAUAUGUAUAAAUAAUACGUACGUACCUAGAGUAAAUGGUUCAUAUUUAUAGUAUUUCCACGAUGAAAGAACGUCCACGAUGCCACCAUUGCUCCGCCGAGUGCCUCUACCAAUCACAGGAUCAUACCACUUACACUUAAAAAGUGUAAUUUUCAAAUUCACCACGCCCUCAUACUCAAUUUGAAUGAUAUCAGUUAAGAUCCCAUAGUAAUCAGCUUCAUCUGAUGCAUUUGUGCAACUCUCUCCUUUAACACAUAUGCCAUAGUUAUAAGUCUUUCGUCCCUCACCAUGCUCUUGCGUAUGAAAUAAGAAACCUCUGGUGAAGUAGAUGGGCCAGGUUUUGGCCUUAUUUACGGGUCCAUUCGCAAUAUUUUUGACCCACACAGGAAACUCGUGUGUGUUGCUCCAGUAACGAACCUGCAUAUAUAUAAAAUAUCAUUAUAUAUAGAAUUAUAGACACAAUUAGGUACAUAAUAUUAUUGAUCAGACGUACGUAAUCUUUCACCCAUAUAUGAUAUUCGUCAGCUCUCUUUGUGGAGAGUUCUUUCUCGGAAAUGUCUAUGUAUUUUGCAAUUAGAUAAUCUUCAAACAUCCUAUAAUAGAUCACAACCACAAAUUAGUAUGAGGAAUUAUAGUGCGAUAUAUCUAAACAAAAUAUGAUAAACCAAAUUGUACCUCUCAAAUGGCUGAAAAUAAUCACAAUUUCGCAAUACGUAUGAAUGUGCGCAGUUAUAGUCUUUCCCGGAAAGCCAUAUCUCUUGCAUUUCUCCACUCGGACGACCUACAUGUGUAAAUAUAUCAGGCACUCCACGGACACAAUAUACAGGGACUUCACCUUCAUCAAAUCGUGUAAACAUGCACAAAUUAAUGAACCACAUUACAUUGAAGAAAAAACACGAGUAUACAAAAAAAAAAGGAAUCUGCAGGAUAAUGAAAGUCUUUACCUUGAUUUUAUUUGUAUAUGAUCAGCAAAGUAGUGCUCAGAAAAGUAAGCAAUCUCCUCAUUGAUAUAUGAUUCAACAAUCGAUCCAGCAACAAAUCUUUUGUUCUUUGCUUUUGCUUUCAACUUUUUGAAAUUCCUUUCAAAGAUAUACAUCUACCUAUAAUUGACAGGUCCUCCUAAUUCAACUUCAUAGGGGAGGUGUAUAGGGAGAUGUUGCAUUACGUCCAAAAAUGAUGGCGGAAAGAUCUUCUCUAAAUUGCAGAUGAUCAAAAUAAUGUUUUUUUUUUUAGAAUUUGGAGACGAUCUUUGUGCAAAGUUCUCUAGCAAAGGUCACGGAAAAACAAUACAACACCUACAAAAUUAGAAAUAUUCUUCAAAUCACAGAUCAAGUUGUAUCAUUAAAUAUAAAAAAAAAUAUAACAAAAAUUUAGCACCUGAUAAUGCAAGAUGGACAUUUUUGUUUAGGAGUUCUGAAAAGAUAAAUGGAAGUAGCCGCUCCAUAAAAACAUGGCAGUCAUGACUCUUCAUGCCAGAGAACUUGUUGUUCUCCAAAUCAACACAAUUAGCUAAGUCUGAAGCAUAACCGUCGGGAAAUUUAACUGCGCGUUUCACACAUUCCAAUAAACUUUUUUUCCCGGCUUCGUCCAAUGUGUAGGGAGGAAAUGGAGCUUGACCAUCACCAUCAACUUGUAAGUGUGGCCGAUCACAAAACUCUGAUAUAUCCAAUCUUGACUGGAUUGUGUCUUUCGAUUUACCCUUCACAUUCAUAAGAGUAUUCAUGAUGUUGUCGAAAAAAUUCUUCUCGAUAUGCAUCACAUCAAGAUUAUGACGGAGAAUUAGAUCCCUCCAGUAUGGCAACUCCCAAAAUAUGCUUUCCUUGUGCCAAUUAUGGUACUUUCCAUAUCCAGGCUUCUUCUUUUCAUGACCGUUUCCACCGCAAACAGACGUUUUAGGAGGAUUGACACCAUUUAACUGCUCUGAAUAAACUUGCUCACCAGUCAAAGAAUCAGGUGGAACUUCAUUUACCGUAUUUUUUCCCUUCAAGAAGUCUUUUCUAUUCUUCCUCAGUGGAUGAUUACGAGGAAGAAAUCUUCGGUGACAAUCAAACCAACACGUCUUCCUUCCAUUAGGCAGAUAAAAAGAAUUAGUAUCUUCCAUGCAAAUUGGACAUGCCAAUUUACCAUGGGUCGUCCAUCCGGAAAGCAUGCCGUACGCCGGAAAGUCGCUUAUCGUCCACAGAAGCACGACUUUUUGGUUAAAAUUUUGAUUCAAGGACACAUCGUAUGCUUCAACUCCAGUUGACCAUAGUUCUUUUAACUCCGCAAUCAGAGGUUUGAGGAAGAUAUCAAGACUAGCUCGUGGAUGAUUUGGCCCGUAAUUUAGAAUUGUAAGAAACAUGUACUAUGUUUUCAUGCACAUACCGGGGGCAGAUUAUACGGAGUCAAGAUCACAGGCCACAACGAAUGAUUAUGAGACAUUCCAAAUGGAUUGAAUCCAUCAGCACAUAAUCCAAGAUAAACAUUACGCAGUUCUUCGGCAAACCGGGGAUGUAUUUCUUGAAAGUUUUUCCACUCCGCCGCAUCAGAUGGAUGACACAUUUCUCCCUCUUUUGCUUGGUGCUCAGCAUGCCACCUCAUUGCCGCUGCAGUCUUCUUGCUCUGAUACAUUCUCUUCAACCUAUCAGCUAUAGGGAGAUACCACAUACGGCUAUAUGGUACUUUGGUUCUACGGCGUUUGUCCCUAGGCUUCCAUCUUUCCGCACCACAAAAUUGACAUGUUUCCCACCUUUCAUCUUCUUUCCAAAAUAUCAUACAAUUGUUGAUACAAACAUCAAUUGUAAAAUAUGGGUGCCCUAAAUUGCACACCAACUUUUCUGUCUCGUAGUGUGAGUCGGUUGCCAUGUUUCCAUCUGGUAAAUAGUCAUUCAACAUUUGGCACACCGAAUCCACACACUUUUCACUCAUAUUAUAAUCUGCCUUAGUUUGUAAAACUCGAGCAGCUAAGGAUAACUGCGAGUGACCUUCACGACAACCAUCAUACAAGGGAUUUUUUGCUCCUUCUAACAAGUCGUAAAACUUUUUCGAAUGGUUGCAUACAUCGUCUACUACAUUCUGGUAAUUACCAGGACCAUCCUGGUAAUUACCAUCCUGGUGAUAAUUAUCAGACCUCACAUUAUCACGAAAUGCAUCAUUUACCAUAUCAACAUAUAUAUCUUCAUUACUAACUUCUUUACUACCACUUAAAGGUGUCGGAUCAACAUGACUCGUUCCUAAUUCCAUAUCAAUUUCUUCUCCAUGAUUAUACCAGACAUAAUAGUCUUGCAUGAAUCCUCUACUAUAUAUAUGUUUCCAAAUUUUUGAUCCCGGAAGAAAUUUAUCGUUCUUGCAAACACUACAUGGACAGAAAAAUUUACCCCCAUUGCUCUGCGUGAUAGGCUGGCUAUUUACAAAUGUCAUGAAUUGAUCCACCCCUGCAAUGAACUCUUCCGAGAAAUUUUCCGUCUUUUCAUCGAUACUCUUGUACAUCCAUUCUCAAAAAUGGGAAUAAUUGGAAUUUCCCAACAUUGUAACACUGCAAACAAUUUGUUUUUUUUUUGAGUUUCAACGAUUUUUUGUUGUUUUCACUUUCUUUUUGUGCUUCUGAGCAGAAAUGUAUGGAAAACAUCGUGUUGUAUUUAUUAGAAAAAUUUCUGACUUAUUAGCGACUAAAUACCGACUGCGCAGCAAAAAUUAGUUACACCAACAACCAUAGAACGUAAAUCAUAUGUUUUGCACCGGUAUUGACUGACUGAUUAGCGACUCCGUUACGACCACAGAAACAUCAGUCGCUAAAUAGUCACCAAAUUUCCGACUAUAUUGCGACAGAAUUACUCCGAAGACGCCGUUAGUCGCAGAUCAGUCGUAAUGGUUCGACGAAUUCGGCGGUUGACUUACAAAAAUUAGUUACACCAACCGUAAAACGUAAACCACGUGUUUUGUACCGGUUUUCACCGACUGGUUUGAGACUACCUUAUGACUCUAUACAUCAGUCACUAAAUAGUCGUAACAUUCAGACUACAUUGCGACUACGAAAACUCCGACAACGUAGGGGUCGCGGAUCCGUCGUACAACGACUAAGUGUCGCAGUCCCUAUUUUGCUACUGAUGUACGACUAAUAUUUUCGAGUUGCAAAUCAGUUGUCCGUCAGUCGCCAAACAGUCGUAAAAUUUAACGACUACGCUUUCAGUCACAAACUGUGGUCGGGAAUCACAUGUAUUCUUGUAGUGUAAGGGUAAAGGGAAGGUUGGAGAGGAGAAGAGGACAGUGAAACAUGGUGAAACUGCUACUCCAACGAAGGAAUCCUCUUUUGUUCCUCCUCCCUAUGAGCCAAAGCUGCCAUUCCCUGGAAGAUUCAAAAGACAGCUAUUGGAGAAGUACAAGGCACUCUUUGAGAAACAAAUGAGUGAAGUUCAGGUCACAAUGCCCAUCAUUGAUGCUUUUAUGUUGGUCCCUCAGUACAACAAAUUCUUGAAAGAUGUUGUGGCUGCAAAGAAGAAAGAGAUAGAAGGUAUGAUGAUCUUAGCACACGAGUGCAGCGCUAUUAUCCAGAGGUUAGAUGUUCCAAGAAAGCUAGAGGAUCCAGGAUGUUUCACCUUACCUUGUGCUCUAGGACCCAUGGUGUUUGAGCGGUGUCUCUGCGAUCUUGGAGCUAGUGUCAGCUUGAUGCCUUUGUCUAUUGCAAAGAAGCUUGGAUUUACUCAAUACAAGAAGUGUAGACUCUCUUUGGUGUUGGCUGAUAGAUCAGUGAAGAUUCCUGUUGGUAUCCUAGAAGACCUUCCCUUGAUGGUUGGUAACUUUGAGAUCCCUACUGAUUUUGUUGUGUUGGAGAUGAGUGAGGAAGCCAGAGACCCUUUGAUCCUUGGAAGACCAUUCUUAGCCACAGCAGGAGCUAUUGUGAAUGUUAGAGAAGGAAAGAUUGAUCUUCAUCUUGGAAAAGGGAACAUCCUCCACUUCGACAUCAAUGAAGUGAUGAAGAGGCCAACCAUCCAGAACCAAGUUUUCUACAUAGAGAGCUUCUAGAGGAGUUGGCACUUGAAGACCCUCUACAGCAUGCUUUAACAAUUAAAAGAGAGGUCCAAGUGAUUGAGAACAAGGAAAGUGAUGCCUGUGUGAAGGUGCUGGAUUCUCACAAGGAGAUUGGUGGUGAGGAUCAGAAUGAGGAGCUUACACAUGAGAUUAAACAUGCUGCCUCAGCUACUCAACAAGAAGACAUUCAUCAAGAGGACUGGAGUGAACUCAAGGCGCCUAAAGUGGAGCUUAAACCUCUUCCCCAAGGUGUAAGGUAUGUUUUUCUUGGCUCUAAUGAGACUUACCCUGUCAUAGUGAGUAGUGAACUGAAUGAAAAUGAAUUGUCUAAACUUUUGAAUGAACUGAAAAAGUAUAGAAAGGCAAUAGGCUACUCACUAUAUGAUAUUAAAGGGUUAUCACCUUCUUUAUGCAUGCAUAGGAUACAUCUAGAGGAUGAAUCUAUGACUUCUAUAGAACAUCAAAGAAGGUUGAACCCCAACUUGAAAGAUGUUGUUAAGAAAGAGAUUCUAAAACUCCUAGAUGCUGGAGUAAUCAAUCCUAUUUCGGAUAGCAAAUUGGUAUCUCCUGUGCAUGUUGUCCCAAAGAAGGGUGGAAUAACUGUGGUUAAAAAUGAUAAGAAUGAACUAAUUCCAACAAGAACAAUAACAGGACAUAGGAUGUGCAUAGAUUAUAGAAAAUUAAACUCAACAUCUAGAAAGGAUCAUUUUCCAUUGCCAUUCAUUGAUCAAAUGCUUGAGAGACUUGCAAAUCAUCCCUAUUAUUGUUUUCUUUAUGGGUAUUCAGGGUUCUUCCACUUGAAAGAUGUUGUUAAGAAAGAGAUUCUAAAACUCCUAGAUGCUGGAGUAAUCUAUCCUAUUUCGGAUAGCAAAUUGGUAUCUCCUGUGCAUGUUGUCCCAAAGAAGGGUGGAAUAACUGUGGUUAAAAAUGAUAAGAAUGAACUAAUUCCAACAAGAACAAUAACAGGACAUAGGAUGUGCAUAGAUUAUAGAAAAUUAAACUCAACAUCUAGAAAGGAUCAUUUUCCAUUGCCAUUCAUUGAUCAAAUGCUUGAGAGACUUGCAAAUCAUCCCUAUUAUUGUUUUCUUUAUGGGUAUUCAGGGUUCUUCCAAAAUACCCAUACAUCCAAAUGAUCAAGAGAAAACAACAUUCACAUGCCCUUAUGGUACCUUUGCUUAUCGAAAGAUGCCAUUUGGGCUAUGUAAUGCUCCAACCACCUUCCAAAGGUGCAUGAUGUCUAUUUUCUCUGAUCUUAUAGAAGAUGUUGUGGAGGUGUUCAUGGAUGACUUCUCUGUCUACGGAUCUUCGUUUUCUGCUUGUUUGUCCAAUCUUAGCAGGGUCCUAAAGCGAUGUGAAGACACCAAUCUUGUGCUGAACUGGGAAAAGUGUCACUUCAUGGUUAAAGAAGGGAUUGUGCUUGGACACAAGAUUUCAGAGAAAGGGAUUGAGGUGGACAAGGCUAAGAUUGAAGUGAUGGUUGGGGCUCCACCAAAGACAGUGAAAGGCAUUAGAAACUUCCUUGGUCAUGCUGGGUUCUAUAGAAGAUUCAUCAAAGACUUCUCCGUAAUAGCUAGGCCAAUGACUAAGUUUCUAUGCAAGGAAGAUGCAUUCAACUUUAAUUGGGAAUGUGAAGCAUUCAAGAAGUUGAAAGACAAGCUGGUUAGUGCCCCCAUUGUGCAGCCACCAGAUUGGGAUCUCCCCUUUGAGAUCAUGUGUGAUGCUAGUGACUAUGUUGUGGGAGCUGUUCUUGGCCAAAAGAAGGACAAGAAGACUCAUGUGAUCUACUAUGCGAGUAAAACUCUUGAUGAAGCCCAAAUGAAGUAUGCUACAACUGAGAAGGAGCUGCUAGCCAUUGUCUAUGCCUUUGAGAAGUUCAGAAGCUAUUUGGUUGGGUCAAAAGUCAUAGUCUACACUGAUCAUGCUGCAUUAAGACACCUCAUGGCCAAGAAGGAUGCUAAGCCAAGGCUGUUGAGGUGGAUCUUGUUGUUACAAGAAUUUGACCUUGAGAUCAAAGACAAGCCAGGAGUUGAGAAUGGUGUAGCUGAUCACUUGUCUAGACUGAAGAUUGAGUGUGGGAUCCCCAUUGAUGAAGGGCUUCCAGAAGAACAAAUCAUGGCAAUUAGAGCAGUGGUAUCAGUUUGUGACACUGGAAAGAAGCUUGAAGAGGUAAAGGCAAAUGAAGAGAAAGGUCUUUGGUAUGCUGAUUUGGUGAACUACUUAGCUUGUGGAAGAGAGCCAAUGGGUCUUGAAGGAUAUGCCAAGAAGAAGUUCUACAAAGAUGUGAAGAGAUACUAUUGGGAUGAGCCUUACCUCUACGUCAUUUGUAGAGAUCAACUCUAUAGAAGAGUAGUAGCUGAAGAAGAAGUUGAAGGGAUCCUUACACACUGUCAUGGAUCAUCCUAUGGAGGCCAUUUCGCUACUUUCAAGACUGUUUUGAAGGUGUUACAAGCUGGGUUUUGGUGGCCUCAUAUGUUCAAGGACACUCAAGACUUUGUUGCUAAGUGUGAUUCAUGCCAAAGGAGAGGGAACAUCACCAAAAGGAAUGAGAUGCCUCAAAACCCAAUUCUAGAAGUGGAGGUAUUUGAUGUAUGGGGUAUAGAUUUCAUGGGAUCAUUCCCAUCAUCUUUUGGCAAUAAAUACAUCCUCGUAGCUGUUGACUAUGUCUCCAAGUGGGUGGAAGCUGUAGCAAGUCCCACCAAUGAUUCUAGAGUGGUGAUCAAGAUGUUCAAGAGCUCCAUCUUUCCAAGAUUUGGAGUCCCAAGAGUUGUGAUCAGUGAUGGAGGAUCUCAUUUCAUCAACAAGCUGUUAGAGAAUCUUCUCAAGAAGAAUGGUGUGAAGCAUAAGUUUGCAACCCCUUACCAUCUGGAAACAAGUGGUCAAGUUGAGAUCUCUAACAGAGAAAUCAAGUCUAUUUUGGACAAAACUGUGGGAACUACUAGAAAGGAUUGGUCUAUCAAGUUAGAUAAUGCACUUUGGGCUUAUAGGACUGCUUACAAGACUCCUUUGGGAACCACACCUUUCAACCUUGUGUAUGGAAAGGCUUGUCAUCUACCAGUUGAGCUUGAGUACAAGGCAUUGUGGACUGUUAAGUUGCUAAAUUUCAACAUCAAGAGUGCCAAAGAGAAGAGAUUUCUCCAACUCAAUGAGCUUGAUGAGAUUAGACUGGAUGCUUUUGAGAACUCAAAGAUUUACAAAGAGAAAACCAAAGCUUUUCAUGACAAGAAGAUCUUGAAGAGAGAAUUCAGUGCUGGAGAUCAAGUGCUUCUCUACAACUCUAGACUGAAGUUGUUUCCCGGGAAGCUCAAGUCAAGAUGGUCUGGUCCUUUCAAGAUAAAGGAAGUUAGGCCAUAUGGGGCAAUUGUGCUAUGGGACAAGAAUGGUGGAGACUUUACAGUCAAUGGACAAAGAGUUAAGCUUUACAUGGGAACCACAAUGGAGGAGAAAGGAAUCUCGGUUUCACUCUCCGACCCCAUCACCGCCUAGCCAAAGGAAAACAAAGUCAAGCUAGAGACUUAAAACAAGCUCACUUGGGAGGAAGUCCCAUGUCUAUCCUUGUACAUAAAAAAAAUGGUAUGGAGUAACUCACGCGGGAUAGGUUACCCGCGUGACGCGAGCUGGAGAGAUCUCGAGAGGAGCCAACGCGGGUUAAAUGACGCGGGUUCCUCUACCCGCUCGCACGACAGUCGCAUUCGGAGAUAUUAUGACGCGGGGUGAAGCAUGCGGGGUCGCACGAGUUUCUACUACCCGCGUCGACGCGUCAAAACCCCCUCAGGUAUGAUUUCUACCCUUAAACCCGGUGACCCGACCCGACAACCCGACAAACCGGCCCGGUUCAACCCUAAAACACCCCCUACCUGCGUCUCUCUCUCCCUUUUCCUCUAUCUCUCUUUCACAAAACAUCCAAACCUCCCACACCAAAUCACCCCAUAUCUCACUCAAUUCUCCACCAAAUCACUCCAUUCUUUUUCCUGAAUCCAAGCUUUCGCCCCUGUAGUCUGUUUUCUUGUUUCAACUUGUCAUUUCCUUUCAUCCAAAGCAAGGUAUUGUAUCACAAAGAUCAAUUUCGUUGGCCUCAUGAACCCUAGAAAUUUGAACUUGAAAUUUGAUCUUUCUCUUGCUUGAUUCUUGUGAAAUAGACUAGGGAAAGCUUAUAUAUCAUGUUGGGUUGUUGAUUCUAUGGUGAAUUUGAGUUGAAUUUGAACUUUGAAAAUUAGGGUUCAUGAGAUUUGGGGAUUUUUCGAAACUACUAUAAUUCCACAUGACUUUGGCUUGGUUUGGUUAGUUAGGGUGUUUGAGAAUUUAAUUAGAGAACUUUCUAAUUAAAGAACUCAUUUGAUGCUUAAAUUUUGCUUAAAAGCCUUAUUCUUUGCUUACAUCCAUCUCUUGUGGCCUUAUAUCAAUAAAUUGUGUGCAAUGGGAUAGUUUUGCUUAAGCUAAGUGAUCAUGAAUUGAAUUCACAUUUGCAUUAUCAAGUUUCCUACUUCCAUUUGCUUAUCUUUUUCCAAGGUUUGAUAUUGUCAGGUACAAAUGGGGAGAAAGGAUCAACACAAGAUAGAAACCGAGAAACAAGAACAUGCCAAGCAAGAGACUGCUAGACAUGGGAAGCCUUUAACCUCCGAAUCUACAACAGGAGGAAAUUCUAGGCAACAAGCCCUGGCGGUAAAGAAGAGAGGUGGCAAGCGGGUUAUAAUUUCCGAGGGAGUGGAUGCUAGCGGUAGAAGGUCAGCCCCUCCCAAAAGAUCUAAGGAACCAAAAGGCAAGGGGGUAGCUCUUCCUCAAGUGGAGGAAAAUGAAGACAUCACUGAAGAAGACCAAGCUCCCCUCAAGAAAGCCAACGUGUUUAAAGGGAAGAAGGUUGAUACUGAGAGGGAUAGAACCAAGACACCAACUGAAGAUGAGCUAUAUGGGCAUUUGAAGAAUGGUGUGUUGUGGCCUCAAACUCGAUUUGCGGAUAUCAAGAUUAUGGAAGAGUGAUAUCUUGCAUAUUUACAUUGUUUUAAUUAUCAUUUCUUGUGCACAUUGGUCUUUUGGAAUAGCAUUUACACAUGUUUAGGUUGCAUUUCCAUGCAUUAGUCCUUAUCAGGUGUUGGAGGGAGUUUCAUGAUGAACUAUGUGCCCCAAGGAGUGUUUUGAUGCCCAAAGAAUGUAGAUGAGUCGUUGAAGGAUCCUAGCGGCCAGGCGUAGCGGCAAAGGCUGGUCGCUACAGAAGAUAAGUACCGUAGCGGGCAUGUGUAGCGGGAUGUAGAGGCCGCUAGAUUUGAAGCGCCUUCUACAGCGGCCACCCAUAGCGACUUUACGAGGUCGCUAUGCGUUCAAGACUUCUAAAAUUUCCCAAGUAUCCUAGCGGCCACACGUAGCGGGCAUGACAAGUCGCUACAGAGCGUAGUGACCUCUGGUAGCGACCUUUUCUGGUCACUACGGAGAAAAAUAUCUAUGUUUUUGUGGGUUAACCAAGGUUUGUUGGGUUAACCCAGCUCGUUUUUAGACAUCUAUAAACACCUUUAAGACCUAAUCUGAGGAGAAUCUCAUUUUUUCUCUCAAGAACAUUGCCUCCUUUGUAAAAAGCUUGAAUCUUUAUAUCAUAAUCUAAGGAAGUUCUUCAUAUUAUAUCUUGUUUCUCCUUCUCAUAAACAUGAUGAGCCUUGAAUCCAUCAUGGGUUUGAGGUUUCUCAUGGAGAUUAGAGAGUAGACACUCCUUGGAUUCAUGGGUUAAGGUAGAUUAGGGUGCUUAAGUGUAGAUUUAGGGUGUUUUAUUGUAGAUCCUUCUUAUUUCUUGCUUGUUGAGUGAUCUUAAUGCUAUUUUAGAGUUGGCCUCUCUAAAAUUGAGCUCUAGACAUUUCAUACCCGAAAGGUGUUUGAUGAAAUGUCUGAACCAACUCUCCUAAGCUUUUAACAUUCUUUACCAAAGAGAUUUGUUGUUAAAGGUGUUAAAAUGGCUAAUAGACUUGAUUUUAAUGAUUGCUUAGAUAAUAUUCAACCAAAGAGAUUUGAUGCUUGAGUUAUCUUAGUGAAUGAACAUCCAUCUAGAGAUAGAGUUUGUUUAGGAUUGUGUCUAAGCCUAAGGUUGAUAGAUUGAUUGAAAGUUGCCACCUUUAGAUUGAACCUUGAUCAUCUUAUAUCAGUUAUCCUUACCAUGGAUCCAUCCUUAGUAUUUGAUUGAAUUCUUGCACUUAUUUCUUGAUUGGAUUUGAGAUCACCUUGUUUAUAUUUCUAGGAUAUUAGUUUGUUACAAAUCAUCUAUCUUCUUGUUUGCUUAGAUUAGGAAGGUUUGUGUAUUCUUGGUGUUAUAAGUCUCUAGUUCUCUGUGGAUUCGAUCCUAAAAUGCUACAAUGACAUACCAUUCGAUUGUGGUAUUGUUGGCACAUUAGGUUAAUUGGUGUGUGCUUAAACGCGUAAUCAAUUUGGCGCCGUUGCCGGGGAACUAAGUAGAUUUGUCAUUAGGAUUUCAAACUUUCUUGAGAUUAAGCUUUAUUUUCUUAUGCUUUGUUUUGCUUUUGUAUAGCUACUAACCUCUUCUUCUAGCUUUUGUUAUUUGUAGAGAUGGCUUCAAGCUACUCUGAGAAGCCACAAGAAGAGGAAGAGACAUUUGAAGAUCGCAUUGAAGAUCAGCCAUAUGUGAAGCCACCACCCUUUGAUAUACGCAUACUCACACCAGAUCAGAGAGUGGAGUUACACCGGCUUCAGAGAACGAAAGAGUAUUGGGGCAAGCCAAUAAGACACCUAGCACAAAUGGUCCGGAUACACCUUAUUAGGGAUAGAGCAGAGUUUGAAAGAAGAGAUGUUACUCAGUAUGAGUUUGAUGCUGCUUGUGCCCUUGAUGAGAUAAUGUAUUGGGUUCCACCACCCCAGCUGGCAGGUACAAGCAUUUCUACUUUAGAACUUAAACUUGAGGAAAUUUGCUUGCCUUGUGGUGAGGAUAGCGCCCCUGAUCUUGAUUCUCUUGUGCUCAUAAAUGAAUGUCUUGAUCUGAUAUGUGAAACUAGGAAACUAGAUGAAUUGAGAGUAGAAAAACUUGCUAAAGAUCACAUUGAAGUUUGCUUUGUCAAGAACUAUAUUUGUGCUUCAUUUGAUCUUGAGUCCAACUUUUUGCUGCUUGAGAAUUCUAGACCUCUUCUUGAACUUGCUGAUUUAGGGGAUGAACUUGAUGUGGAUAAGCUCUUGCUUGAGAUAGAAAACCCCCAUGCUGAAAACUAUCAUGAGAAUGUGAACAUUGUGUAUUAUUUGAUUGAUGGAGAUAGAGUUGACUACUUUGUUAAAACCUUGUUUGAACCUGUAGUUGAUUUUGUGUUUCCACCUAAUGCUUUUGAUUCUCAUGAUCAUCUGAACCUCAAGGAGCAUUUCAUAACUCAUGUCAUAUCUUUAGUGAAGCUCUUUGAGGAAAAAUCUGUCUAUUUUCUAUGGACAGUAGUGUGUUUCUUUGCACACUUGGUUUCUUGUUCUUGUAGGAGAAAGACCAAAGGUGCAUUGGCUCAGCCUUUUGAUACUUAUGAUUAGCAAGCACACAAAGUCAAGCUAGAGACUUAAAACAAGCUCACUUGGGAGGAAGUCCCAUGGUAUCCUUUGUAUAUAUUUUUUUAUAUAUCUUUUUCUUGCUUUAGUGUGUUUGAAUAAGCUUAGGGACAAGUUUGGGGGAAUUCUCAAAAAUUCCCAAAGAUCAUGUCGAAAAUUCCAAGGCGACAACAAGUCCUCCCUCCUCAUUUCCCUUCUAUCAUGACAGCCAACUUCAAGUAAGUGCAUUCCACCCUUGUAAAUACUUAGCUCUUUCAUCUUUUAUUUCUCCUUUGAUCUCUCUUUCGAGUUUACUCUCACACAAGAGACUGUGUGAAGUAAGUUUGGGGGAGAGUCUACUAUCUCAUAUUGUGUUUUCUUUUGUCUACUUGUCAUUGAGUCUCAUGCAUUCCAUUGUGCAUACCUAUCAAAAAAAAAAUGAAAAAUUUAGUUGCAUCAUUUGCAUCUGUAGGAUUGAGUCUAGAAGCAUUUAGAUUGCAUUCAUGCAUAGGAAGAAACCUUGUAAAGAACACAUGUCUAGAACUCGAUUCGACAUCCUAGCUAAAUAUAUCAAGUAGCUUAAGCAUCUUUUGAAAAAAGCUUGUAAGCUUCGAGCCUUGAAAACUCUUCUUGACACAUGUUGCUUGCUUGAUGAUUGACAUUGUUUUUGAAACCAACUCCAAAUGAACUAAGGCUUAAUGAACUUAAUCUCUCUUGCAUAUGGGCAUUUGCAUACUUGAUCAUGGAUAUUAUACACAUUUGGGUUAUCUUUCUCUCCUUGUACCAAUCUUUGUUAACCCAAAUGGCACUCUCAUACCCAUUAACCCUCACCAUUCUUUGAAGCCAACAUUAAUUUGCUUGAGUGAGGUCUUUUAUUGAUAGCAUGUCAUGUGCAAAAUCUUUAGAGUAUUAGGAGCGACAAUGGGGUUGUUCUAAUCUUUGGCUAGCAUUGGGACUUCAUUUGAGCUAGCCUCUAGGAUUGUUUUUGGGUUUGUAAGCUUAAAUUCUUUUGAUCUUGGGAAUGAGAGAGAUUGAGCGAAAGAGAUGAACCAAAAAGAGUGUUUAAAGUAAGAAACCCCUAGGGACAAAGAAAGUUAGAAAGGAAAAGCUCUAAAGUAUCAAUAGAACCCCCUCCCAAAUAUUAAAAAAAAAGGGAAUCAAAGAAACAAUAGUUGAGUGGGGGAAAAGAAAAGAAGAGAGCUAAGUCUAAAAGUUUAAAUAUAAAAGAACAAGUCUCUAGUUAGUUAAAUCAAAGGAAAGAAAGAAAGGAAUGGUAGAACUUAAAGCUACUUAAGAAAAUGGUAGAAUGAUGAGAACAAGCAUUGUAUGCAUGAAUUGCUCCUUUUCUUAGAUAAAUUUUGCAUAAUGAUCUUGCUCAUAUUCUUGAGUGUGAGCCACUAUAAAUGAUGCAAUUGAAACCCACUUUUCUUCACACUAGACCACUCUUUCUCACCAAACCAAAUGAUCGAGAUCAAAUAUCCAUUUGCAAGAAUUCAACUUGUGUGUGUGUGUGUGAAUGAAUGUGAGAGUUGGCUAAGGAACUUGUUGGUUGGAUGACAAUGAGCCUUGUGUAGAGAUAAAAGAGUCUUAAUAGGCCUUGAGAAACUAGAGUGCACUAGAGAGUUGCUCAUGCUAUUUGCUAUGUUUCUUUUAGGAUGUUAGGUUGAAGGCUAGAAAGUGUCUCUUUUGGUUAUGUGUUUCCAUUUUCAAUUCCCUCCUCUUUAAUUGAUCUUGAAUGUUUACUUGAGGACAAGUAAAGAACAAGUUUGGGGGAGUUGAUAUCUUGCAUUAUUACAUUGUUUUAAUUAUCAUUUCUUGUGCACAUUGGUCUUUUGGAAUAGCAUUUACACAUGUUUAGGUUGCAUUUCCAUGCAUUAGUCCUUAUCAGGUGUUGGAGGGAGUUUCAUGAUGAACUCUGUGCCCCAAGGAGUGUUUUGAUGCCCAAAGAAUGUAGAUGAGUCGUUGAAGGAUCCUAGCGGCCAGGCGUGGCGGCAAAGGCUGGUCGCUACAGAAGAUAAGUACCGUAGCGGGCAUGUGUAGCGGGAUGUAGAGGCCGCUAGAUUUGAAGCGCCUUCUACAGCGGCCACCCAUAGCGACUUUACGAGGUCGCUAUGCGUUCAAGACUUCUAAAAUUUCCCAAGUAUCCUAGCGGCCACACGUAGCGGGCAUGACAAGUCGCUACAGAGCGUAGUGACCUCUGGUAGCGACCUUUUCUGGUCACUACGGAGAAAAAUAUCUAUGUUUUUGUGGGUUAACCAAGGUUUGUUGGGUUAACCCAGCUCGUUUUUAGACAUCUAUAAACACCUUUAAGACCUAAUUUGAGGAGAAUCUCAUUUUUUUUCUCAAGAACAUUGCCUCCUUUGUAAAAAGCUUGAAUCUUUAUAUCAUAAUCUAAGGAAGUUCUUCAUAUUAUAUCUUGUUUCUCCUUCUCAUAAACAUGAUGAGCCUUGAAUCCAUCAUGGGUUUGAGGUUUCUCAUGGAGAUUAGAGAGUAGACACUCCUUGGAUUCAUGGGUUAAGGUAGAUUAGGGUGCUUAAGUGUAGAUUUAGGGUGUUUUAUUGUAGAUCCUUCUUAUUUCUUGCUUGUUGAGUGAUCUUAAUGCUAUUUUAGAGUUGGCCUCUCUAAAAUUGAGCUCUAGACAUUUCAUACCCGAAAGGUGUUUGAUGAAAUGUCUGAACCAACUCUCCUAAGCUUUUAACAUUCUUUACCAAAGAGAUUUGUUGUUAAAGGUGUUAAAAUGGCUAAUAGACUUGAUUUUAAUGAUUGCUUAGAUAAUAUUCAACCAAAGAGAUUUGAUGCUUGAGUUAUCUUAGUGAAUGAACAUCCAUCUAGAGAUAGAGUUUGUUUAGGAUUGUGUCUAAGCCUAAGGUUGAUAGAUUGAUUGAAUGUUGCCACCUUUAGAUUGAACCUUGAUCAUUUUAUAUCAGUUAUCCUUACCAUGGAUCCAUCCUUAGUAUUUGAUUGAAUUCUUGCACUUAUUUCUUGAUUGGAUUUGAGAUCACCUUGUUUAUAUUUCUAGGAUAUUAGUUUGUUACAAAUCAUCUAUCUUCUUGUUUGCUUAGAUUAGGAAGGUUUGUUUAUUCUUGGUGUUAUAGAUCAUUAGUUCCCUGUGGAUUCGAUCCUAAAAUGCUACAAUGACAUACCAUUCGAUUGUGGUAUUGUUGGCACAUUAGGUUAAUUGGUGUGUGCUUAAACGCGUAAUCAAAGAGUUGGAGAUAGGUGACGACAUUAAGCAAAUGUUGGAGCACAUGAAAAUGCAAAGCUUCUUCACUAUGGCCUACCCUACCUAUAAAGAUGAGUCAUGUCAGUUCUUGGCAUCAUUAGAAGCCACCUUUCACACCACCAAACAUGUGAGGUAAGGAUGGGGAAAGAUCAAAUUCAAGAUCCAUGGGAAGGUUUACUACAUGACCUUCAAGGAGAUUGGACAAGCACUUGGUCUUAAGGAUUUGAAGGAAUCAUCCAUCCCCAUACCUUAUGAUGCAACUAAGGAGGAGAACAUUGCCAAAAUGGUUUUGAAGGUGUUGGCGGGGAAGAGUCGCAAGACAAGCCGCGACAAGAACGCCUCCAUUCGCCAUCCUUCUGUGCGCUAUCUCCACCGGUUGAUUGUCCACACCAUUUUCCCAAGGAAAGAACCAGGCACUGUUAAUGAUGAGGAGCUACAACUUCUUCACCAAACCGUCCAACAUUAUGCUCACCCAUCUCAGUUGCCUCUUGUCAGCACUGAUUUCUACAAGAAUUUUGGAAUGGUGGGAUUCUUUGUGAAGCGCCUCAUCCACUACAAAGAGUGGGCUUGGACAAUGAGUGACUUGGAACCUCAGAUUGGAAUUGGUGGCUUGAUAACUCCAUUGAUUAAGUUCAAGGAUAUACCCUUGGAAGAUGAUCCAACUGGUCCAUUUCAUGGAUGGAAGCUACUUGAAGAAAGCUCAGUACUUCAGUGGAAGGUUCGAGGGAACUUGUGUCUACUCUUACCUACAGUCUACAAAGGAGGUUGAAGUGCUUCUCCCAAAUUGGGACCUCACGAGCUUGACACGACCAGGAGCUAUUAGCUUUGAUAUUGGGGAAGAACACCUCCUUGGACCCCAUGGUCCUCUAGGCCCCAUAAGAUAUCCCAAGAAGAAGAAGAAUGCAGAUAGAUGUGGUGUGUUUCAAGAGGACACUUCUGGUUUAAACUCUGAGCUCCUCUAUGGUCCUCCUCAUUACCACUUUGAGCAACGUCCCGGAGCCUUACCCAAUGGUCCCCUUCGCUAAGCUCAUGAGCAUAUUGGCAACCUCCAAAGGUGGAACAAAGCUCAGGACAGAACUAUCUUCAAACUCAAGGAUAAAUAUAAGGAGUUUAGUAAGACUGUGAAGAGGCAAGCAAAAGCUUCAGCUCAGUUCAUGAAGAAGGUGGCUGAUAUACUGACUAGAGGAGCUGUGGCAGGAUGCUCAUCAUCAUACUUUGACUUCCUUACCCCCCAGCCGCAGCCCCCAAUAGAUCCUUUGGCACUCAGUUUCCCCGCCACCAAGAAACAGCUGCUCCGCCGGAAGAGAAACCCACCAGCUCAACCAUCCGAUUCAGGAAACAAAUCUCCAUCCCUUGCCUCGACAGAUAAGGAAGCUGACACCGAGGAUGAGGCAUCGGCCUCUUCCCACGCUCCCUAUUGAGGUACUCCUCCACCUUUCCAUUGUAUAUACCAGUUUUUCUUUGCAUUUAUCUCUCUUUUCGGUAUCUCCUUCAACUUCCUAACACAGAGACUGUGUGAACUAAGUUUGGGGGAGAUACCAAGUAUUUGAUCAUGUUUCUUUUGAUGAUUUGAGUCUCACGCAUUGCAUUGUACAUACAUAUAUGCAUAGAAAAACCAAAAAAAAAAAUUAAAAAAUUUGAAAAACACAAAAAGAAACAUGUAGUUGCAUCACUUGCACUUUUAGGAUUGAGUCUAGAGCAUAUAGGUUGCAUUCACUUGCACUGGGAACAAUGAUUUAAAAUGCCUUGUAAAGUAACUCUUGUCUAGAACUCAAAGUGACACUCUAGUUAAACAUAUCAAGUAGCUUAAGCAUCUCUUGAAAGCCUUGCACGUUUCGAGCCUUGAAAACUCUUCUUGAAACUUGUUUGCUUGCUUGAUAUUGGCAUUGUUAUUAAGAUCAGCUCCAAUCUGAACUUGGCUUGAAUGAACUUAAUCUCUCUUGCAUAUGGGCAUUUGCACACUUGAUCAUGGAUCUCAUACACAUUUGGAUUAUCUUAUUCCUUUAUACCAAUCUUUGUUAACCCAAAUGGCACUCCACACCCUACAACCCUAACCAUUCUUUGAGACCAAACAGUGAAUUGCAUGAGUGAGGCCUCUUUUGAUAGUUUGUCAUGUGCAAAAUCUUGAGAGUAUUGGAUGCGACAUAGAUUGGUUCUCAUCCCUUGCUAGCAAAAUGAGCUAGCAUUUGGGAAUGGUGAGAGGGGUUUGUGUGUUCUAAAUUUCAAUAUCUUGGGUUUUGGGAGUGAGAAAUAUAAGAAAGAUGAACGAAAGAGUAUCAAUAGAAAAGAAAACUCUAGGGACAAAAGGAAAGUAUGAAGCUCUAGAUUAUGUACAAAAGAACCUUCCCCUUUAUAAAAAAAAAAAAAAAAAAAAAAAAAAUGCUUUAAUUUAUUUAUGAUGGAGAGGGAAGAUUCGAGAUGCAUGCUGCUGGAAAAGGGUGAGCAAGAAGUGGGUGCAGAUUUUGGAGGAAUGAAAAGAAGUCAAGAGCUGGAGAACAGUGGCACGAUUGAUCAAACAAAUUAAAAAAAAAAAAAAAAAAAAAAGAGAAAAGAACCAAAGAGAAGGUGGGGAAGGAAAUGAUAAAGAGCUAGAGCAUGUAAAAAGUGAAUUAAAAUCCCUAGUUGGUUGAGUCAAAAGAAAAAAAGAGAGUUGUUCAUUGGGUGAGUGAUGUGAGUGGGUGUUAUUUUGGUUUUGAGAUUAUGAUAAAAGGGUAGAACUUGUGAUCACUAAAAAAAAAAGGGGGUAGAAUGAUGAGAAUGAAUCUAUGUAUGCAUGAGUUGCUUCUAGUCUUAGAUAAAUUUUGCAUAAUGAUCAAGCUCCUUGUUUUUGAGUGAUAACCACCUUGAAAUGAUAACAUUUGAACCCUUCUCUUCAUUCAUAUUAGACCAUUGCUUACCUAGCCAAAUGAUUGAGAUCAUGUGCCCAUUUGUGAGAAUUCACCUAGUGUGCGUGUGUGUGAAUCAAUGUGAGAGCUGGUUGAAGGGACUUGUUAGUUGAUGAGUAUUGCGACUUGUGUAGAGGCAUAAGAGUAGGGAUAGGCCUAGAGAAGCUAGAGUAUAAUAAGAGAGUUUCUCAUGCUAUUUGCUAUAUUUCUUUAGGAUGUUAAGUUGAGUGCUAGGAAGUGGUACUUUUGGCUAUGAGUUCCCACCUUCAAACCUCUCUCAUAUAUGAGUUCUUGCAAGUUCAUUUGAGGACAAGUAAAGAACAAGUUUGGAGGAGUUGAUAUCUUGCAUAUUUGCAUUGUUUUAAGUCUCCAUUUUGCACAUAAUGAUCAUAUAGAUUAGGAAUUUAGCAUCUUUGGGAUCCAUAUUGCAUUCAUAUGUCUUUAUCAGGUAUUGGAGUGUCAUCAUCGACGAUCCAACGAGGCUUGGAUCACGCGGGAUGGCCUACCCGCAUGCACGAGAAUGGAGCUGCGCGACGUCUUGACGCGGUUUGAGCUCACGCGGGUUCCCUUACCCGCGUCACGAAGAGAAGGAACCGAUAGAGUCACGCGGGACAGAGCCACGUGGGAUCGCCUACCCGCGCGCAUGACGGAGAAACCUCGAUGACGAUCCGACGUGGGUUGGCUGACGCGGGUUGUGCCCGUCCAUUUCUACCCGAGUCGAAACUUAUCUUUAGUCGGAUUUUAAUGUUUUUAAGGGGCUUUUUAAACUUUUUAAUGGAAACCAUUAGGUUUACCAAAGACAUAUAAAUACUCUUGUAAUCCCAAAGUUGAGACUUAUCUUAUUUUCUAUCUAAUCAAAAAGGAACCUUUAGGUAAAAAACAUAAUCUUGAUUAUUCCUUUGGGAUUGCUUUGUUAAUUUGAUCACUAAUCAUGAUUAACACCAAAUCAUCAUUGAUUCUUGGGUUUAUCAUGAAGAUUAGUGAGUAGUCAUAUUUGAAUUCAUGGGUUAGGGAGACUAAGGGUGAUUAAGCUAGAUCUAAGGUGUUGUAGCACAGAUCCAUCGUGUUCCUUGCUAGUAAAGUGCUUUCAUCUAGAGAUAGAGUUUGUUUAGGAUUGUGUAUAGGUCUAAGGUUGAUAGAUUGAUUGAAAGAUACUACCUUUAGAUUGAAACUUGAUCACCCAAGGCCAAUUCCCUUAGCCCAUGAAUUCUCCCAUCUCAUAAGAAAUAAAAGUUUUGAUCUUUAUUGCAUUUUAGUAGUAUUCUAGUUCAAAAUCAUCUUGCCAAUUGAUAGCAUUUAGAUUAAGCAUGGUUUUGCAUUCUCUUUGCAUUAGAAUCACUUAGAACUGGUUUGACAUCCUUUAUACUAUAACAUUUGAUUAGGAGCCUUGAAAACUCCUAAUAUCAGUAGAACCCAAUAUAAUUUUAGGUUUUAGAUCUUAAUUGGUUUUUCAGUUCCAAAAUUUGUACACAAAAAUCAAAUAGAGAUCUAGUGAAACAAAAACCAAAAAUAAAAAUUUGAAAUGAAAAUUGUGAAAUGACCUUGGUACAAUUCUUUUGGUUCUACUGUAAUUUUAGACAAGAUCAAUUAGAUAGUAAAGACAUUGAAAUAGAGAACAAAUCUCAAAAACUAUGUUUAAACACAUUAUAUUCGACAAACCCUAAGAACAAACACAUCUAACCCGGUAAACGCAACUAUACAGAAGAAAGAAGAGCACCAAAUACCAAAAUAUAUUAACUAAAUAUUUGAGUUCAUUAUUCAUGGAAUAGCUACUUAUUUUAGGUACUCAAUUAAAUCUCGAAUAUUUUGGGUACUUAUUCGGGAUUAAGUUUGGAUUUAGUAAGAGUAUUUUUCUGGAAUUUUAAUUUUUAGAUUUUUUUCGAAUAUCCAUUUGGGUUCGGAUGGAUUCGGUUUGGAUAAAACUCAUAAUCUGAAAUAUCAUAAAACAAGUCCUACUCAGUAUUUAUGUCGGAUUUAGUUUGGUUUGAAUUCAUUUCAGUUGGACGGAAUAUGGAUCUGAUUUUUUAAUUGGAAUUAUUUGCCCAUCCCUAGACAAGAUAUUGAAAGAUAAGGGUUGAUGCCAUGAACAUGCCUCAUCCAAUAUCGUAUUUUUGUAUGCUGUGGAUUGUUGCCUAAAAGACCGAAUCGAAAUUAGGGUUGAUGCCAUGAUCAGAUCUUUUUGAAAAUCAGAUUUAUGUAACUAGUAGCAAAGUUUCAUCGGAGAUCUAUUUUAUUAAUUAAUUUGUUUUAGUUCAAUCUAAAUUUCAUUUAAAUUUUAAUUUCUUAAGGGUAGUUAAUUUCUUGGUCAAUUAUAUUUUUGAGAGAAUUGACAAAUGAAACACAUUCAACUUUAGUUUGUUCCACUAUAACUUUGUUAAUACGAUAUUAUCCUUUGGUUAGUCAAUUUAACCUUAAUUAAAGAAAAAAAGAACACUAAAUUAAAAAAAAAAGGAUUAUUGGUUUUUAGGCCCAAAAAUACAUACAUUGUCCUGUAGGGAUAAUCCCAACUUAUAAUUGUCCCAUUAGGAUAAUGAUAUACAAAAACCCAAUAGUUUCCUUCAGAAAUACAAUUAACAAAUUAAUUAUGAUAAUAUUGAAAUAUAUAUAAUAUAAAUAAACUAAUUAAAAUAAAAUAAAAAAGUUAAAAACAUAAGAAAUACCCUAAUCAAAUAUUCUAACCCUACUUUUUAUUUUCUUGCUAUCUCAGCCUCUCACUCUCUCCGUAAGGCGACAAAGAAAACAUCUCUCUCUAGGUGGGGUGACGACGACACCGACUGAAAUAGACUCUAAUCGAACGUGAAUCUCUUCUUCUCCAACUAUACUCCGGCGUGAAUCUCUUCAUAUCCAGCCUAAUCUCUUAUUCUCCUGUCUAACCCGAAGGUAACGCCAAGUUUUCUCCUUCGUAUUUCGUUUUCAUGCCUGAUGAUAUCACUCAAAUUACCCUAGAGCGAUUUUCACUCUCUCAAAUAAGAGAUUCAGUUUCAGUACUUAGGGAUCGAAUCUACAAGGAGCGAUGGUACACAAUAAAUCUAAGCAGCCAAUGAUUAAGGUAUGCAGUAAAUUAUAAAGCAGUAAAUAACUCAGAACUAAGCAGAUUGAUUGGCUGGUUGGCUUGUAAAUAAUAAGAGAAAAUAGCCAGAUCUAGGGUUCAUGUAAUCAUGAUUAUAAUGAUAUAUAAUGCUUAAGGUAUGCAGAUGACAAUCCUAGAACUCGAUGUGUAAUGCAUAAGAUGUCCAGCUUUUCCUGCGAAUCAAAGAUGUUGACUAAGUCCAAUAUCUCAGCUGUGACUUGGUGAUAUGGAUCGAGCAUCGAUCAAUGUUAUUCAGUUAGCGUCAAUCGAUGCUACCUUAGACAAGCGCUAGCGAGCUGGUCGAUUUGUUUACUAAUCUUAACUAAAUCAGCUAUCGCUUGUUUCUAGCAAUCCUAACUAAAGAGAAUCUAUUCUGGUGCAGAACCUACCGUCGUAGUUGUCCACAAUCCUAAAAUCAAGGUCCUAAUUAGCUACUCUAGAACACAUGCAUUAAUAGCAAUUCUUUGAAGGUUGUUUAAUUAUCACCUUAUAAAUUCUAUAGAUUUGGCUAAUCCUCCAUAACCCUAAUAAACCCUAAAUCUAACAAAGAGAACUACUCAGACACGAUCAAGCAAAACAUGAAAAUAAACUGAAUAAAUUGCAUGUGGAAGCACCGUAGUCUACUGGUUAAGGUUUAAAGGCUUCUACACCCAGAAAUGCGGUUCGAAUCCCAGACUAUGCAAUUUCUUGAAGAUUACAGGAAAUCCAAGUUUCAAGUACCGGAGAGAACGAUUUAUUAAUGCAGACUACAAAAGAAAUGCUUACAAGAGAUCUUCAACAUGGUGCAAGUAAAUCUGGUCAGGAGUGUAUCUUCAUAGGACGGCUCAGAUGAUGCAGUUAGGCAUAGAUCCUCAUAAGGCAUGUAGUAUUUUCGGUUUUUGAAUCGUUUAUGUAAUAUUUUUCAUAAAUUUAAUGCCAUAAUAAAUCAGCGUUAAAAAAAAACUGAAUAAAUUGCAUAAAUAGAAUAAGUUAGAAAAACUGUAGUUCUAAUACAAAGCUCUUAAGGAGUCUUGGAUCUUCUCUCCGAACUACUAAAAAUCCUAAAACCCUUACGCUGUGAAUGAAUGAAAAUAAGAAAGCGUGUGUUGCCCAAUACAAUGACAGAGCACAUAAAUAUUAGGUUAAAGUCGGUCAGGGUUAGUUUUGUAAAUAUGUGGAACUUGGGCUUCAAGUCGGUCAUGGACAAGUGGACUGCUUUCGCGCUUCGCUGUCGAUCGUCGACAAGUGAUGUUUGUCGAUCGGCGGUUGACUCUGAAUGUCGAUUUUGGUUUGUUCAAUGAACAGCUACAAUUUUCUUCUGUCUUUAUCUCCAAAAUGCUUCAUAAUUACCACAUUGCUCUAAAACGUACCUUAACAUGUAAAUACUCUAAAAAAAACUUCAAAACAUGAUAAAUAGAUUCUAAAACACUGAUAUACCAUGGCCAAAAACUAGUAAAAUCCAUGUUAUAUCACUUGAUAUCUCGUGUUUGAUAAUCUCGUCGUCGGUUCUUCUACGGCCUAGCUAUCGGUUUCAUGCGUUGAAAAAGAGUGUUUGAUAAUCUCCUUAUUCUUCGCAAUUUCGUUUACAUUCUUUGCAUUCUUCUUUGCAUGUUGUUGAAUAGUGGUUAAUCUCUGUUAAAAUCAAAUAAUUAGUGUUUAUUAUGUGUGUUUGUGUUCAUGUUUUCUUGUUACCAUUAGGGUUUGUGAAAAGAUUUUUUUUCUUGGGUUUGUGUUUUGUUUUUUGUUACUAUACGGUGUUGUGAAUCGAGAUACACACUGCUUGUAAGCGACUGAUUCUUCUUAGAAAAUUCUUUCCCACCUUCUUUGCAUGUUCCUCAACCACCAUUAGCCACUGUGAAACGCAUUUCGAGUAGGCUUUUGUGACUUGUCCUUUCUAAGAAUCAAUUGAGAACUGUCUCAUCUAUUGUUUCGCAUUGUUGUUAUUUUGAUGUUUAACUCGGUAUAAUUUUUGUCUUUUUAAUUGGUCUCAUUUUGAUGUUUAAAUCGGGUAUAAGUCGUGGAUUUUAAUUUGUAUGUCUCAUUUCGGGUUUGGUAUUUAUGAAAACAACUAUGUCAUUGUGGAUUGAUGUAAAUUGCUAUUGCAAUAGUACUCCGAAGUGUUAUAACGUAUUAAGAUCAGAAUUGUGUUUCUUAGCUUUGUUAUUUGUUUGUUUCAUUUCGGGUUUUUGUAGCGAUUGAUUCAUUUGGGUUUGGUGCUCUCUAUUGUUUACUGAGAUUGAUAGAGUAUUAAAAGACAUUAUUUUAUUGUAUAUGACAUUGGUUAUUGAUCUUUAUUGUGUUUUAUUGUGUGUUUAUUUUAGGUAUGAAGUUGGAGUUACCUAGACUGUAUAUGGAGAGGGUUUGGAACCUCAGGUUGAGAAGUUAAACAACAGCUGCCGCAUGACACUUCUCGAAAUUAUGAAGAAAGCAAUGAAGGAAGAAUACAAUCUCUUUCGAGUAUAAAUCCGAGUCGUCAGAGAAUCCAAUCUCGUGUUGAUUGUUUUCUCUGUUUAUCCAAUAUUCAGCUGAACAGGUAUCAGAGACAAAGGAUCAUAAUCAUGCCGCAAAAGAGAAUUACCUUCAACAGCUGCUACUAGUGGAGCAUAACGUGGUGUUAAAGGGAGUACUAGCCGAGUUUCAGAAUGAUUUGCGCAACAUGUUGACAAUCUUCUCCAAACACAGAAUCAUGCUCAAGGAUUGUCUUGUUGUGAAGAGCAGAUCUUUGAAGAUGAUAAGGGAAGUAAUGUCAUUGAUGACAGUCUGUUUGCAAGGAACUAUGACCGUUCAAUUUCAACACAUUUUUUCUGUAAGAUCAUGGCAUCAUAAAGGAAAUAUGGAGAAUUGUUUUGAUCAGGUCAAAGACUUCGCCGGCGAGCCCGUCUACGAUGUCUAUGAUGACGAAUUAUCUAUGGAGACAGUCUAUAAUGUUUAUCAUGGUGAAGUUAAAAUUCAUGAUGAGGAAGUUGAAUUUCCAAUUCAGAAAGGAGAAGACAUACAGUGUAGUCAGGAGUUGUGGGCAUCAAAAAAUUCGACAAGAAAGAUGAAGUUUCCGUCUUCUCAGGAUAUGUCGGAUCUGGAGAGUAUGGAUAAAAAAAAAUGGUGACUUUACGUAUCUUCCAAAGCUUCAUGCGAGUGUUAAUAGUGAACCACCAGAUCGCGGAAGAUGUGCGUAUAUUUUGCAUGACAGUGAGGAAGAUCCUGACAACAAGUUUUGUGGCGAUCUAGUAUUUGGUAUCAAUGACAAAAAGACGAUAUAUAUAUAGAUAAUAUAUCAGCCAAGAGCUUUGAAUAUUCCCGACAUAUACGUCUCGAGUUUGAGACAAAUCAGUUCGUCGAAAGUAAACCGCUGUUCGUUUCAGAGAUAAAUGAGCGUACGUGUGGUCAUUUACAAUGGCACUUGAUUCAGAUAUUAUGACCCUCAUAGGAAACAGUGCACAAGAUUAAUUUCCUUUGCCUUUUCCUAAUGAGGAACAAGAGACCAACGGUUUUGUUAGACGUGGUUUUACCCAUAUUCUUAGCUUGACGCGAGAUCCAAUCGCACUUACUGUUUAUCACGAGCAGCUCUCAUCUUUGGGGCAUAUAGAGAUGGUGAAAUCAGAUUCAAUCUAUGGAGAGAAAGGAACAAGAUUAAGCAUGGGGAGAAACCUUUGCCUAUGGCUGUAGUGAAGAAGCUUAUUGACAAAGGGGUUAGAAACAAUUGAGUGUAAUGAGAAUGAAAGGAGUGAAGGGCAUGGAAGAAGCUCUUCAAUAUUGGUUUAUCACAAGAGUAUAAUUUUUGAGGUUCAUUAGUAGUGAAGAAGUAUAAGGAAAUAGUGUUAUAUAUUACUAAGGUUUACACUUCGUUGUAAAAAGGCUUUUUUGAUAAAUAAAAUUUAAUAUUCAUUCAAAAAAAAAAUCAGUUUCAAUCAAUUUGGUGCUUCUAUGUUCUUGCUCUCCGGUCUGUCAUGAUUUGGGGAGCCAAAAACAUUUUGUGCUGGGUCAAAAAAAAUUAUUGGAGAUGAAUUUUCAUUUUUAGUAGGGUGAAUACAAUUUUUCGUAAAUAAAAAAGUAUUGUACAAUUUUUUUUAAGUAAAAACAAGUUUUUUAAAAAAAAAUUGUGGGGUCAGCUGACACUCCUUCUCAAUUGUCUGGCCCUUUUGACUGUAUGAGAAUAGUGGUGUCAAGGACGACUAGGACGUCAGUGUUCUUUCAUGCUUCUGUUUUCCUGCACAUAUCCUUGCAUUGGUUGCUGCACAUCACAAGGACAUUGAAGAGAGUUGCUGAUGUUUUCCAAUCCGCUCAACAAAAGAAAACCAUUUAAGGUGUUGGCAACAAGUUAUCAUUGGGCGAGCCUUCUUCAUCCAGCAGACAUGUGGGAAGCUUGGCAUUGGAUUUUUACCACCACCAUUAAUUGAUGAUGCAUAUCGUAGAGAGACUGAGUACACUAUGAAAAAUGAUUUUCACAACGUUCAACGUGAAAAUAUGAAAACACUGGCUGUGACGGAGAGGAUUCAUGAGCGACUUAGUUCCAGAGCAAGACAUGCUCUAUUUUUUUCUCGGCUUGGUGUGCAGAUGGUACUCGAUGUUUCCGGUGACGUAUACUGUUUUGGGGUCUUGUCGACAGUCCCAAUGUUACACCACCAUCAAGUCAUUGAUCUUUUCAUGCACCCAAAGUAUUCUUUGAACAUAGAGAAGUACAAGCUUGGCAUCAAGUGUGAAUUUCUCAGAAGAAGUGUUGUCACCCGUAUUGAGAGCGACUUAGUUCCAGAGCAAGACAUGCUCUAUUUUUUUCUCGGCUUGGUGUGCAGAUGGUAUUCGAUGUUUCCGGUGACGUAUACUGUUUUGGGGUCUUGUCGACAGUCCCAAUGUUACACCACCAUCAAGUCAUUGAUCUUUUCAUGCACCAAAAGUAUUCUUUGAACAUAGAGAAGUACAAGCUUGGCAUCAAGUGUGAAUUUCUCACAAGAAGUGUUGUCACCCAUAUUGAUAUUUCGAUGAAAAAUGUCAAAGUGAAACUUGGAGUAGUUCAUAGUACAUAGUUGGGUUAUUGCACAUCCACGAUAACUAUAUGGUGUACUGACGUUGCUUGCGAGUCAAGCAAGCUGGUGAUUUGUUUGGCUUUACACCAUGUAUUUCGCUUUGUGCAUGGAGAUGCUGUCCUUAGGCCACCCGAGUCGUCUUCUUUAUUGUUUUCUCCAGGAGAUGACAAGUUUGAGGAAUGUUGACUUCAUCUUGGACGUGGUGAUCAAAGUCCAUCUUGUCACUUGAGUCCAUCUAUCAAGGUACAUGAAAAACUCUAUGUUCGGUGAUGCAUGGGAGUGUCCUUAUUCUGAUGUGUCUCUUAUGGUAAUCCGUUAGUGGCCCUUUUCAAUUUGUUGCUUGAGAAAGUACGCAGUGCUAGUGCUAUUACUUUUUCACCACGCUUUGUGUCUUCAGUGGGUUAUCUCUUGAUCUUUGUCGUGCUUGAUAAGGGUGAGUCUUUGUUCUCAUGUUCUCUGUGGAUUCACAACCUUUUUUCUCCAACAUCUACAGUGAUGCACAUGGUAUGCUUUUCGACCACAUCAUUACAUGCUGGUUGCUACCAUGACGUUUCGGUGGACAAAAAGGGACACCAUUUUAGGGUCCAGGUAGUUUUCUCAAGGGUUGUGAGGGGUUCAUACGAGACCUUGCCGUAAAGAUGAGUGUAGUUCAGCUGGUGCAAGUCAACAAUAGCAUACAUUUGGUCUCUCAAAGUUCAGUGUCUAUUGACUCGUCAUGGUAAACGUGUGCUCGUUGUUAUCGCUGAAAGAAAUUUGCCUUUUGUGUGGCCAUGGUGUAAUACUUUGGCGCUAGUACACAUUGAUCGUGCAUUCACCUAUGUGCCUUCUACUGAUGACGAAAAGGAUGUUUUUUUUUUUUUUUUUUUUUUUCGCAAUGAAAAAUUCAUUAAACAGAUUAACCCGAAGAUAGAGCCAGGACCCCGCAGGUCGUUAUUGUCGGAGGUGCUUCGCGUUCCUUUGGUCAAUGACGAAAAGGAUGUUAUGGAAUCAAGUGUUGAAGUUUGUGUACACUUUCCCUCCGUUCAACAUGAGCGAAGCAUUUUCCGUGCAUUGGUGAUUGAUUUUAUGCAGACAAUGAGGUAUCAUGUCUCACUGCAUGUUCCAACAUGAUCUAUAAAUACAUUCUAUAACUUUCACAUCAGCAUUCUUGCGUUAUCAACAUUCCAGCUUCGAGGAAGAAGCUUUUUUUACCCCGGGAGACAUGAUGUAGCACACCCGGACUCAAGGAUUCAUUAACUGGAGUCUGGACAUGAUGUAGCAUAUCCAAAGCCCAAAGGCUACUAGGAAUUACGUUUGUGUUUUGAGGCUUUCCUUUUAUUUUUUGUGUUUCCUUUUAUUAGUGAUAAUCUUUAAAGUUAGUUUUCCUAAUCAAGUUUACAAUAGGAAUUAUCUAUUAGGGUUAUAUGAAGGGAACGUAUGUGUUCUCUUAGAACGGGGUUUUUGAUUAAUAAAGUUUGAGACUUUCUAAGACAACACACGGUGCAUCCAAAGUUCGCCCUAGAGAGAAACUCUCUCGAGCCCGCAUCCCAAGGCGCCGUUUCGAUGGAUCUUCCUUGCUCCAACCACGAUGCUCUUUCCUCUUCUCUCUGAAACAGCCAUGUUCCUCUCUAUGGACAUGAUGGUGACUAUUCCUCCGUCGUGGCUCCGCCCCCCUCCAGAUCCGCCGCCCCCGUCGUUCCUGAUGCAGCACUGCUCUUCCUCCUUGAAGAUGAUGGUGACAGCCCUUCCUCCUCUUUCACAGCCCAGGCCUCCUUCAGAUCCGGCGCGGAACAAGCAUCUUCCGAUUGAAACUCCUCCCGUCAAGCCACCAGAACCUCCAGACCCACCAGACGUCUCCGUCAGCCUCGUUCUUUUCACUUCCUCCAGCCCUUCUCCACAAGCUACUCAAGUCAUAGAUCUGAUGUUUAAUUUUUCAAGGGUUUCAAGUAAGCUCAGUGAUGAUGGUGUUGUUCUUGUCUUCAUUGGUGACACCAUCUUUGUCAACUGGCGUUCUUUUCCUGUGGUAUACAGGUUGUAUUUUUGUCAGUUCGGGAAUGGGUCUUCUCCCGGCUCUUAUUCCAACUUUCAUUUUAUCAAUCCGCUUAUAGACGUCCAGGUCCACCUUAGCUCCUUACUCUCUGUUUACUCCUAUUCUUUUGGAAAGGAUGCAAUGCUAGAUGUGUGGGUGACUUUGGAUUUGUGGUUUCUGGCUUUAUUUGGUAGUGUACUGAUGGACUCAGUGUCCUUUGGUUAUAUCUUUGUGCCUCUUAGUGGUUUUUAUGUUGCGUUGAUGCAACUCUCUACUGCAGUAUGCAGUCCUAUUAUUGUAUUCAACCUGGUUUGUGGUGCAGUGUCUGUGUGUUUCUCUUCUUGGUGGCAGUUGAAAGAGACAAUCAUUGUGAUUUGUUGCUUGGUGAAUAUGGUUAUGGCGGGUAUUGAUUGUCCGCUUGGCUCCUGUUUGGAGCAGUCUCUUUUCCCAAUAUUUCCUCAUGUAUGGAGUGAAUUGGAUGAACAUGUGUGGCUGGUAUUGCAAGGAUUCUCCUCCCGGCUAACGCUCUUCCCUGCCUUUAGUGCAGUGGUUGUGACUCUCAGAGUUACCCGAGAUGCAAUCGUUCAAGAAACUCAUAAAACCGUUGUGAUGCGAUUUCUAAUGUUUACUUGUUGUGAUUUGUAUUUUCAUUCUAUCUUAGGUUUAUUUGUUUCGUAUUCCAUUGGGCUCCUUGUAGCUUUGUUGUACUCUCCUUUCAUGGAGCGUAAACUCUUCUAAAUUCAAUACAAGUUGGUUUGAUCAAAAAAAAAAAAAAGUUUGAGACUUUCUUCUCUACAAAUCGCCUCGUCCUUUUACAAUCUCUUUCGAGUUUAAAAAGAAGUUAUCAAAUAUGUGUAUAUAUAAUUUUAAGUAUAAAAAUGACCAAUCCCAUGAAUUGGUUUAUUUUCAUUAAAUAUCAUUUAUAUAAUUCGUGAUCUGAUUUAAACUUACUUAUUAAAAUUAUUUAUUAAAUGAACUUAGAAGUGGAGUUCGUGCUCAUAAAAAGUUAAGCUGAACUAAGGCGGCCCAUGAACUAUAACUGAUUUUGACAUUUCUAGACGAUGAUGGUUUUGGUUUAGGCGUUUAGCCCUUUGUAAAGUUCAUUUAAUUAUUUAUAUAUAGACUAUUCUCGUACCAGGGAUUUAUAAAGUUCAUUUAACUUUGUAAAGUUUUCUUUUUAUAAAGGGGAGACAUAUGUUCAAGUGAAUCUGUGAUUGUUGAAGAGACAUAAACUAAUAUGGAACGAUACCGUUAUAUUUGAUAGAUUUUGUAGAUGCAGUAUUAUCAUUGGCACAUACUCUCUCCAAAUAUGAAGUAUGUUUAGCAUAUUAAGAAAUAAUAUAUGUUUAACUUAAGUUAUUAUUUCUUUUUUCUUAAUAAACAUUAUACCAUUCAUAUUUUUACAUUUUAAAACAAGAUAUAAUAAUUAAAGUUUUAAACAUCAGUCUUUUAAAAACAACAAAAAAAUCAAUAACAUCAACUUUGAACUUUAUAGUGAGUACUGUAUACAAAUCAUAUAUUAUUCUCUUUGGAUAGUUGGGUUUUUUUUUUUUUUUUUUUUUUUUUUUUUGAUAACUCUGGUAUCUGGGCAGCCGCAUUCCCAACUAUCCCCCGUAGGGGGUCCAGCGCCCCAACGGAAGGGAUGUUAAAUCCGCUGUAGCCGGGGCUCGAAGUCGUGAUGGCGGGCACCUCAACCGAAGUUCCUUUACCACCAGACCACGAGGCCCGGUUUGUAUGUGGAUGUCACUAAGUGUUCUUAAUUAGUGGACACUUUUAUACUUGUCUCCUUUUAUCAUGUACGUAAAUAUUAGUUGUCUAGUUUGAAACUAUUAUUCUCUUUGGAUAUAAUUAUUUAAUAAUUAAAUGUUAUUUAAAAUAUAUCAUUACCAGUUAAUAAAAUGUUUGAAAUUUAUUACAUAUAAUUAUGGGAAAUAGCAUUAUUUAACACGAAUCUACUUUCAAAUAAAGUUACAUGUUUACAAACACUAGAUUCCACUCCACCUUUUAAAUAAUUUUAUCAUCAAUCUGAUAAUAGUUAAAAAAAAGUACUAUAAUAUUUUAAAAUAGUAGUGGAAUUUCAGAAGGGCAAUUACAAAUGUGUAGAAACGACUAAAUAAAAUGAAAUGACCAUACCAAUAAAAAUAACUAAGUAUGAAAAUAAAAAUGAAUCGAUUGAAUACUAUAGUAUAACCUAUUUAAAUUAAUACUCUAUAAAUUAAUAUACACUAAAAAUCUCUAUAAAAUAAUAUAAUUUUAUAGUCUCAAAUCGAGUUUUUGGUUCAAUUAGUGUAUCGAUAAAUUAAUAUCUCUAUAAAUUAAUAAAAAAAUUAUAGUUUUGGUGUAUUACUAACAUUAUUAAUUUAUAGAGGUUUCAUUGUAGUAUGAAUUUAUGGGUUAGCGAGAUUGUUUGUAAUGUUUGGUUGUAUGUGGAUGUUACUAAAUGUUCUUAGUGGACACUUUUAUACUUGUCUAAGGGUGGGGUUUAAGAUUUAGGGUUUAGGGUUUAGGGUUUAGGGUUUAAAUUUUAGGGUUUAGGGUUUAGAGUUUAGAGUUUAGGGUUUAGGGUUUAGAGUUUAGGGUUUAUGGUUAGAGUUUAGGGUUUACGGUUUAGGGUUUAAAAUUUAGGGUUUAGGGUUUAGAGUUUUUGGAGAAGUAAUUUGCUUAUUUGUCAUGUAAUCCAUGAUUUUAGGGUUCAGUCAUUAGUUUUAAUUAUCAACUAGAUUUUGACAUGCACUUUCCAAGCGCGAGGUUUUUGGAUUAUAUUAUAAUACAAAGUCUUAUUAUAUCGAAAAAUAUAAUUUUUAACAGUUAUAUAAUCUAUGAAUUAGUUUAUUUGAGAUUUUAUAUCUACACUUUUACGUAAGUUUCAUUUAGGCAUGAAAAUUAUAUCCGGAUCAAAAACACAAACCGAACCGACCCGAAAAUAUAGGUUUAGUUCAGAUCCAGAGAAGAUAACCUAUUGUGUUUUUUUUCGGACCCGCAGGUAUUUGUUUGAGUCCGGGUCCUACCCUAGAUCUGAUCAUAAAUAUCUUGUAUUUAUUAGGUAUAUUUGGAUAUUUCGAAUAUGUUUCCGGUACUAUGGAUAUUUUUAUUAAGUUUUUGGUUUACGAUUAUAGUUUUUGAUUUCAGGUAAAUUUUCAAAUUAAAAAAAAAAAUUGGGUAUUUGGAUAAAAUUUUGGGUAUUUUUCUUCAGUGUCAGAUUUUGAAUAAGAUUUUGAAUUUUUAUGUAUUUGAAUUUUUUGGGUAUUUGUUUGGAGUUUCAAGUACUUUUCGUGUUUUGGAUAUUGUUCAGAUUUUUUAGAUAUUUCGAACUUUUUUAGGAUCCUAAAUACCCGAACAGAUGUGGACCCAUUACGUCCAUAUCAGGUCCAACAACCUUUUGAUAUAGAUUUUUAACGUUAUUGUACAAAAACAUGGUUGAUGAAAUAUUUUUCUGAGAAAAGAUAUCAUAAGGAAUAAUAUUAGGAUCUGUUAAAAAUAUUUAAAAUAUUGUAUGGUUAGAAUGAUUAAUGGUAUUACCAAAAAAAUAAUAAAUAGUUAUACAUGACUCCAACAACUUUUUUAUAUUAAAUUUUUUAAGACUUCUUCCUUUUUAAUAGUAUUGAUUCGUUUUUAAACGAAAAGUAUAUUAAAGUAUAAUAUCUAAACCAAUAAUUUUCAAAAUCGUGAAUAAUCAAUACUAAUAUCGUGAAGUCGGUUUAGCUUUAACAGAACCAAUGAAUUUCUACAUUUUUGUGAAGGAAUAUUCAGAAAACUCAUUUUUAAAUAUGAAAAUAUCUAUCAAACUAUAGACGGUUGAAAGUUUAGUAUAUGAUAUGAUAUUUUAGUGGAAAAAUUUAUAUAUGAUAUGAUUACUUUAUUAUAAAGGAAAGAGGAAGUUAGAAUGUACACAUAUAUGUCGUGUAACUUCUCUUGCUUUAAAUCAUAUAUUAUAUGAUAAAAGUGAUGAUAUAAAAUAUUAGUUUCAAUGCUUUACUAUUAAAAAUCAAAAUGGUAAUGAUUAGGAUUUAGGAGUGAUAUUUGAAUAAAUAAAGGAAUUGAAUCAAUUAUUGUUAGAGAAAUAUAUGGUAACAUAUUGUUAAUCUAAGUUUAAGGUAAGACCAAAAAAUAAUGAGUUAAAUGGAAGGGUCCAAACAACUUUCAUAGGUAGAUUUUUUAAGACUCAUUCCCUUUUAAUAGUAUUGAUUUUAGUUAGACUGAAUAAAUUUAUAAAAAAUAAUUAUAUAAUUUAUUAUUUAAUUGAUUACAAAUUAAUAUUAUAAAUAUUAUCUCAAAAAUAAAUGGAAUACAUAUUCGAAAAAAAGCCGUUAUAAUUCCCUUCACUUUGAUUUUCUUAACAUUAUCUUUCGUUAUCCAAUCAAUAUCAAACUUUGAGGCUGUGACAGUGCAUCGUCCUCUGAAGAAAGAUAAUUCCAUAUAUUUAUUUUGUGUUUAUCUACAUCUUUUAUUUUUAUUUGUUAAUUUUAUAAUUAGGUGGUAUAUAUACACAUAUAAUAAUUUUAUUUAUCAAUAUACUAAAAUAAUAAAAAUAUUUUAUGAAAAAUAAAAAAAUGAUUAAUAUUUGUUUGUAAAGGUAAUAUAUCAUGGAAUAUUUUUAAACAAUAUUAAAUUUAUUUUAAUAUUAAAAUAGGUAUGUAACCAAUAAUAAUAAAUUUGAUUCAUAUUUGUUUGUUAAAAUAAUGUUUUUUGGUAUUUUCAUUUUUAUUCUUAUUAUUCAGUUGCAAGAAUAACAUUUAUUUGUUAUCUAAGUUUAAGAAAUUAAUAUUAUUUGUUUUUGUUUUUAUAAAUUUUUUUUAUUGGCAAUGGAAUUAUUUUAGAAAUAUUUUCAAAAUAUCUGCUUCUAAAAGAGAAUAUUUUAAAAAUAUUAUUUUUAUUUACAAAAAGUAUCUUUUAUUUAUAUUUGUUUUAAAUUAAAUCUAUUUGCUUUUAAUUUUUUCAAGAGUUUUAGAGAAUUAUAAUUUAUUUAGAUUAAAAUUUCUUUAAAAGACUAUAAAGUAAAGAAAAAUGUGAUUUUAUAUUAUCAAUAUGAUAUGAUUACUUUAUUAGUUAUUAUGAGAGGUAUUUUACUAUAUAAUUAUACAUAUAUCAAUAUUUGUAUUUACUUUUAUUAAUAUAAUAUUUGAUUAAUAUAAUAUGUAAAUUUGGGUUCGGUUUAACAUUCUUGUGCUUUUGAUUUAUUUUGAAAUUUUGUAGGUUUUAAUAAUUCCAAGAAUUUGGUUUUAUAACAUCACUUUAUAUAUAUAUGAGACAUGAUGUAGCACACCCGGACUCAAGGAUUCAUUAACUGGAGUCUGGACAUGAUGUAGCAUAUCCAAAGCCCAAAGGCUACUAGGAAUUACGAAACAUAAAACAAGGUACCCUUGAGCAGGUUGAGAUUCAUUAUUUAUUAAGAAAGCAAGAAACAUAGAUGAUAAUUUGGAAGAAACAUAGAUGAUAACUUCCAAUGCAUUUGAUCAAAAUGCGUUAGAUCAAAUAGACACACUGUAGGGAACACCCAUCCCAGUAACGCCUGGUUCAGAGAUGGGCUUUAAAAGCUCGUACUUAACAACACCUGCUCCAGUUCGAUUCUUUAGAGAAACAUUCACGUUCCUCUCAUCUAUCACUCCUUCUAGGUAUUGGAGCUUGCCUUUGAAUCGUUCAUAUGCAGCAUAGAUGAUAGGUUCGUGGGCCCAAGAUGCUUCUGGGUUUUCUCCUAGGUACUCUUCAUCUGGUGAAUGUGCAGAUAGAAGAUCCAAAGUCAACAUCACUUUGGUCGCCUGCUUCUUCGACGGGAAUGUCUUAAGCAUGGUCUUCUCUGGCUCCUCAUAGAACUCUUUUAGCACUUCCUCUGUCGGCUCUUCCACUGGCAUUUUGGUUCUUGCUGUGGUUGGUCGGUUGGGAAAGUAUCCACCAUACCCGUACUGUCCAAAGUUUACAGCUGCAUGGUGACCUGAAGCCACCCAUGCAAUCGUGGUCACCACUUCAAUCAAGUCUUCUUGUGUUUUGAGGACAGGCCACCAUGGUUCAUUUUUCUUGUCUCCAUGCCCUAUGUUCCUCACUUCACUCCACCAUCCUUGGAGUUCCUCAUCCAACAUAACCUGUUCCGCAUCAUGCAUUUGCCUACUUUUUUACUUCACAUUAUAAAUUUAUAUACUCAAAAUGUGCUAGCUUCUUAUAUAAUAAUAAUAAUAAUAAUAAUAUGUUUGCCUUGUAAUUGUACUCACGGGGGUCGGUCUCGGCGCUAAUAAGCUCACAUCCCACAGCAUUAGACCGUCAUUCGCAAAUGGGUAAUCUGGUACCGUCAGGCGUACCCCAUGUUCCGCUGUCUCGUCUUCCACAGCCAGGCCCCUUUGAUAUCACAAAAAUUUUUAUGUAAAAUAUUUGUUAGCAUAAUUAUUAUAAAUCAGUGUCCAAGAACUCGUUAGAUGCACGUUAGGCGUUUUAUAUUAGGUUAUUAUUAGGCAGGUGCCUAAACCUAUUUUGAACGCUUAAAUCAAUCUUAUUUAAUUUAAAAAAUAGGUACAGAAGAAUUGAUUAAUUUAGAUCUGAUUUGAGUAAAGCGUCUAAGCCGAUUUUUAUAACACUUAAAUUAAUACUUACAAAGAAAUAAGUAUAAUCUUAGUAAUUACGUACCUGCUGACGAGGUCUGCAGGUAAGCCUUCCCUGUCAAACCUCCAUAGUUUAUCAUACACAUCUGAACUUUCUUUAUCUGUUUGCUUCUAUUUUGCUACUCUCUUGUGCAUCCCCGCUACAUCUAUUUAUACAAAUUUAAAAAAUAUUAAAUCUUUUCUCUUUCCAAAAGUAGAAAAAAAUUCUCUACAUACUGAGUCCUCGAGUUAGAAUGUUACUUUAUUGAUUAUAUGUGAUUACUAACUAUAUAAAUGGAUUUUAGUCAAAAAAAGGAUGUGAUUAUAAUUAACUUACAUAAGAACUAGAUAACUAACAGUAAGAGCCUGUCCGGCCCUGCGUUGACGAGACUUUGGCGUGCACGAGCGUUGAUCUCCAUCGUGUAGCGGAAAUGGGGAUGCAAAAGCCUAUAAAUAGGAUGCAUGGCACUUAGUUGUCUGUUUGCCGCUAUGAUAUAUGGCUCCAUACAGCAAUGAGUCCUCAGCCUGUAAGAUUUAAUGUCUAUACAGUUAAACCUAAAUACUGUUGUCAACAAAAUAACCAUUUGUAGGAUCUAGUUUGUCCAAUACCAGUGGGAAAUAAGCUGGUGAUAACCAGCGUCAUGAGAAAUAGCGUGAGUCUUAGCAAGACUCCAUAGCCAGCAGGAGGUAGCAUCAUAGCCUGGCGUGAAUACCUGCCUCCAUUGGGGCUUGUUUACAUCUUGGGGACGAGUCAACUCAAUGGCAACAGGUCUCAAUGUGCUAUCAUCGCUGAGGAAGAAUAGCGCUCGAGAAGCAUAUAAGGUGCUAUCAUCCAACUCUCGUAUCAAUACAAACAAAAUAGGUUAUGUUUUUAAAAGAUAUUAUAAGAUUUUAAAAAUAAACUGAUAUUUUCUUUGCUUUAAUUUCACAACUAUUUUUUUUUAUAUCUAAAUCAUAAUAACAUGAAACUUACUUAAUAAUUUAUUAUUAUAUUUAUAAACUAAUUUUUCGAUUAUACUACUUUAUACCUAUAUAUAUAUAUUGUUUAAAAAUAGGGGGUCCAUAAUGUAAGGCCCCAUGCAAAUAUUUCACAUCAAUAAAAUGAGACCCCAUGCAAGUGUAGACUUAUUUAUUGUGUUUUGGGAAUUUUCAAAUUUAGGAAAUUGCUAGUUUUUAGACGAACCUGUUUAUUUUUUAUUUUAAAAAGAAUCUUUUAAUUUUCUAUAAAAAUAUUUAAUUUUAUUACAUGUUUGAUGGAAAAAAACUGUAAUCUUUAAACCGACAACAGUGAUCCAACCCAUCAUAUAAUCAUACAAAUGAUAUAAUUUGUAAUCAAUUUAGUUAUUUAUUUAUUUUUCAAGUUAUAUUUAAUAUCUAUAUUUCGCUUUUAAUAUUUAUUGAUAAAUUAAGUUUUAAUUAAUACUAAUUUAAUUUUUUCUCUUAUAAUCUUAAGUAUUAAUCUUAAUAUCUUACAUGUUUGAUGAAAAAUAUGCAAUCACGAAAGCAACAACAGUAAUCCGAUCCAUAUAUAAUCAUACAGAUAAUAUAGUUUUAAAAAAUUACUUUCUCUCAAGUUAAAUAUAUAUAUAUAUAUAUAUAUACAAAAUGGACAACAACUGUACAACUCACUAAGAUAGUUGUUCUAAGAAAAAAAAACUCACUGAGAUAGUUGAUAAGGCAUUAAGAAAUAGAAAAAUGUCACCAAAGUACGAGCCCAUGACCCAUGAUGACAUUAGUAUGUAGGGCUACUACAGAGAUGGUUUCAACUUUCAAUUUUUUUUUUCAAGUUUCAAUUUGAUUUUGGCUACUUUUCUAUUCUUUUCUUUGCCACAUAGGUUAAACGUUUCAUAUAGGAACCGAGUUUGCAUAGAUUUUAUUCUUUUGUAAUGCAUGUCUUUUUGAGUGAUUAAUAAAUUUAAAAUUUCAUCCAAAAUUUUUUUAAACUAAAACUUAUUUAAAUAUUUUUUUAAUAGUAACUUUUAAAAUUAAGUUUAUUUGAAAACGUAAUUAUAUGUUGUUUUAUGUGCAUAAUUUUUAAUAUAUUACCUAAUUUAAUUAUAUUUAUUAUUUAAUUUAAUAAUUUUAUUAAUAUAAUAUAUAAAUAUGAUAUUAACUUAAAAUAUAUAAAAUUUUCUUUGUAUAUAUAAUGUAUAAAAUCUAUUCAGCAUUCAUUUUCCAGUGUCUUUUUCACAAAAAGUAUGGGAGUUGGUACCUUACCACCUUUAGGCGGAUUGGAUCAUUUGCCUCUGAACUCAUUUAAUUAUGGUUGGAAGUUGGCUUUGAAGGCUACUACAUUCCCACGUACCAAAAUUUAUGACUGUCCCUUGGCGCCUUGGAUAAUCUCAGCAAUCUAGAUGACAAGAAAUUUUAAAAUUUUCCAGCAUCUUCAUUUCUUGGCGCAAGACACAAUGACUAAGGCUAUUACAGAUACUAAGGGUUUCAGAAUUUAAUCGGGUUUUCAGUUCCAAAUUUUGUUUAUACUUAGUUAAACGUGAAAACUAAAUAAUGACCCAGUGAAACAAAUAUUAAAAAUUUGAAAUGAGAAAUGUGAAAUGCUCUUGUCACAAUUAUUUUUGGUUCCAAUGUAAUAUUUGACAAGUGAAAUUAGAAAACAAAACUCAAAAACUAUGUGCAAAUACAUCAUAUCUGAUAAACCAGAAGCAUGAACACAUCAAACCCGAUAAAGUUGACUAUAUAGAAGAAGGAAGAGCACCAAAUACCAAAAUAUAUUAAACUAAUAAUUUGUGUUAAUUAUUAUAUAAUAGACACUUAUUUUAGGUACUCAAUGAAAUUUUAGAGUAUUUUGGGUAUUUAUUCGGGAUUGAGUUCAGGUUUAGUAUAAAUAUCUUUCUGGAAUUAUGAAUUUUUAGUUUGUUCAGAUAUCCAUUUGGGUUCGGAUUCGGUUUGGAUAAAAUCAUGACCCAAAAUAUCUUAACAUAAGUCUCAUUCAGUAUUUAUGUCGGAUUCAGUUCGAUCGAAUUCAUUUUUGUCAUGUUGGUUUGGGUUUGGGUUUUCGGAUUCGGUUUGUUUCCCACCCGUAAAAAGUAUAUUGAAAGAUAAGGGUCGACGCCAUGAACAUGCCUCAUCCAACAUCGUAUUUUGUUUGUUGUGGGUUAAUGCCCAAAAGACCAAAUCAAAGAUUAGGGUUGAUGUCAUCUGAUCUUUUUGAAAAUCAGAUUUAUGUAACUAGUAGCAAAGUUUCAUCGGAGGGCUAUUUUAGUGAUCAAUUUGUUUUUAGUUCAGUCUAAAUUUUAUUUAAAUUGGAAUUUCUUAAGUAUAGUUAAUUUCUUGGUCAAUUAUAUUUUCUUGAGAGAAUUAACAAAAUGAAACACACUAAACUUUAGUUUAUUUCAUUAGGACUUUGUUAAUAGGCUAUUAUCCCUUGAUUAAUCUAAUUUAACCUUAACUAAAAUAAAAUAAAAACACUAAAUUAAAAAAAAAAAUUCUUCCUCAAAGCCCUUUUCACUCAACCUUUGUAUCUCUUUCGCUCAUCUUCUUGCUGAACCCUAUGUUCUUCUUCUUUCUUCUUCAAUGGUGAUUUCCAUGUAUGCUAUAUAUAUCGUAGCUUCUUCUCUUUUAGUCCAAGUAGUUUUGUCCCUAUCAGAAGACUCCGCAGUUCCAUCUUCUAGAGAUUUUCAUCAGCAGAGCCACUGGUACAAGCAUUUAUAUAAUUGAUUUGAGUUGUUGUAUGAAGCUCUUAGUCUCUUAGAUCAAAAAAAUGAUGAGGGAGUGAACGAAUGAUUUCAGUGUUGAUAUUUCAAUGGAUUGAUUGUUUGAAGCUUGUUGAUGACAAGAUCACGGAGAUUGCUUCAUGAGAAAUACUUGAAGCAGCACAAUGUGAAGGAUUUGCUCAGAGUUAUUGCAGCCAACAAUAAUCGUAACCUCUAUGAGUUGAGGGAUUUCAACAUCACUGAGAACGAAGCAGAGGAAAAUGGCUACAAAAAUGAUUAGUUUCUCUUCCUCUCUCUCUCUACAAUUGUCACCGUCUUGGUAAAGAUAUUAUUCUAGUUUGAUUGAAGUGAAAUACACUUUCAUUUGUGAUUGCGCCGUUAGAAAUAUUAGUGAUUUAAUGUAUGUUUAACUAUAAAGUAGAAAAAUGUAUUUAAUUUAAUAACUUACAAAAUAAAUGUUAGGUCCAACACAAUGUUUCUGUUUUAAUAAUAUAAAUUAUCAUAGCCUACCCGGAUUUACAGUAAUUCAAUUUCAGUAUUUUUGUUAAUUUAAAAGUUUACUCGGAUCUGGUUAUGAAUUUUCAUCGAUUUCAUAAACUUUUCGAGGUAAAAUUGUUUUAAUAGGCCUUAACUUACUAUACUUGAAUACAAUCUUCAAUAGGUCAGGUCAACUCGAUGGGGUCAUUUUCCUACGUCCAACAAUAUUUGGUCCAAUAAACAUAAGAUAACCACACAUUAAGUCUUAUUCCCAAAAGAAAUGACAACAUCAAACUCCUUCACCGCUGCCCAGCACAAAGUACCCCUUGAGCAGGUUGAGAUUCAUUAUUUAUUACAAAAGCAAGAAACUUAGAUGAUAAUAACUUGGUAGAAACAUAGAUGAUAACUUCCAAUGUAUUUGAUCAAAAUGCAUUAGAUCAAAUAGACACACUGUUGGGAACACCCAUCCCGGUAAGGAUGCAUUAGAUCAAUUAGUGAUUUAAUGUAUGUUUAACUAUAAAGUAGAAAGAUGUAUUUAAUUUAACAACUUACAAAAUAAAUGUUAGGUCCAACACAAUGUUUCUGUUUAAUAAUAUAAACUAGAUUUUGAUCCGCGCUUUCAAAGCGCGGGUUUAUUUUCUUUUUGUUCAAUGGUCAAAAUAUUUAGUAAAUGUCAUAUUUCAUAUAUUUGUGUUUUAUUUUAUAAAAGACUUAAACUUUUUAUCUUUCUUUAUCGUGUUUCAUUUUAAAUGACUAUUUAUGUUUAAAAAAUUAAACUUUAUUUUUUUAAUGAAUUAAAUUGGUAUAACUCUGAUAAAUUAAUUUUCUUAUGUGGUUAAUAUUUUUAAUAAAAAUAAUUAUAUACUUUUAAUAAAGAUUUAUACUUUUCAAUGAAAAAAUCAAUUUUUUUUUAUGAAUGCUUAAAUUAUAUUAAGAAAAGAAAAAAAAUAAUUAAGAAUGGUUGAAAAAAAAUUAUUUGAAUUUGGACUCAAUGGCCCAAAGAAAAAAAAUGUGAGAAUUGGAUCUGAUUUCUUAAUCGGCCCAAAUGGUCCAAGAGAGAUCUGAUGUGGACAGUGGGCUGGAUCCGAAAAAAAUGGCCAAAUAUAGAAGUGUUAUUAAUAUUACUUGAUUGCCCUUAAUGAAACAUGCAAUGUUAGUAAAAAAAGGGCACACUAAGGUAAAAAGGACAAUAGGAUCCUGCUUUAAUAGUAUAGAUUAUCAUAGCCUACCCGGAUUUACGGUAAUUCAAUUUCAGUAUUUUUUGUUUAUUUAAAAGUUUACUCGGAUCUGGUUAUGAAUUUUCAUCCAUUUCAUAAACUUUUCCAGGUAAAAUUGUUUUAAUAGGCUAACUUACUAUACUUGAAUACAAUCUUCAAUAGGUCAGGCCAACUCGAUGGGGUCGUUUUCCUACGUCCAACAAUAUUUGGUCCAAUAAACAUAAGAUAACCACACAUUAAGUCUUAUUCCCAAAAGAAAUGACAACAUCAAACUCCUUCACCGCUGCCCAGCACAAAGUACCCCUUGAGCAGGUUGAGAUUCAUUAUUUAUUACAAAAGCAAGAAACUUAGAUGAUAAUAACUUGGUAGAAAGAUAGAUGAUAACUUCCAAUGUAUUUGAUCAAAAUGCAUUAGAUCAAAUAGACACACUGUUGGGAACACCCAUCCCGGUAAGGCCUGGUUCAGAGAUAGGCUUCAAAAGCUCGUACUUAACAACACCUGCUCCAGCUCGAUUCUUUAGAGCAACAUCCACGUUCCUCUCAUCUAUCACUCCUUCUAGGUAUUGGAGCUUGCCUUUGAAACGUUCAUAUGCAGCAUAGAUGACAGGUUCGUGGGCCCAAGACGCUUCUGCGUUUUCUCCUAGGUAUUCUUCAUCUGGUGAAUGUGUCGAUAGAAGAUCCAAAGUCAACAUCAAUUUCGUCGCCUGCUUCUUCGACGGGAAUGUCUUAAGCAUGGUCUUCUCUGGAUCCUCAUAGAACUCUUUUAGCUCUUCCUCUGUCGGUUCUUCCACUGGCAUUUUUAUCCUUGAUGUGGUUGGUCGGUUGGGAAAGUAUCCACCAUAUCCGUACUGUCCAAAGUUUACAGCUGCAUGGUGACCUGAAGCCACCCAAGCAAUCGUAGUCACCACUUCAAUCAAGUCAUCUUGUGUUUUGAGGACAGGCCACCAUGGUUCAUUUUUCUUGUCUCCAUGCCCUAUGUUCCUCACUUCACUCCACCAUCCUUGGAGUUCCUCAUCCAACUUGACCUGUUCCGCAUUUGGAUAAUAGUGAUUCACAUAGUCUGUUACCCAUUCCUUAAGUGCAUCCCACAGCAUCAGACCGUCAGUCGCAAAUGGGUAAUCUGGUAUCGUCAAGCGAACCCCAUGUUCAGCCGUCUCAUCUUCCACAGCCAGACCCCUUUGAUAUCACAAAAUUUUAAAUGUAAAAAGUUGUUAGCAUAAUUAGUAUAAAUCGAUGUUCAAUAAAUCAUUAUGCGCAUAUUAUGCGUUUUGUAUGAGAUUAUUGCUUGUGUUUAGACCGAUUUUUUGAAUGCUUAUUUAAAAAAAUAGGUGUAGAAAAAUCAUUUCAUUUAGAUCGUGUAGAAAAAUCAUUUCAUUUAGAUCCGAAUGGGCGGACGCCUUGGAGCCAAGUUUUAGAACACUUAAAUUAAUACUUACAAAGAAAUAAGUAUAGUCUUAAUUAGGAACUAUGUACCUGCUGAUUAGGUCUGCAGGUAAGCCUUCCCUGUCGAACCUCCAUAGUUUGUCAUAGACAUCUGAACUUAGCUCUAAUGAAUACUUUCCGGGCCAGAAACAAGACUCAAUGAUUCCACCUGCGUUGACGAGACUUUGGCGUCCACGAGCGUUGAUCUCCAUCGUGUAGCGGAAGUGGGGAUGCAAAAGCCUAUAGAUAGGAUGCAUGGCACUUAGUUGUCUGUUUGCCGCUAUAAUGUAUGGCUCCAUACAGCAGUGAGUCCUCAGCCUGUAAAAUUUUCCAUCUUUUAACAGCAAUAACACAUACGCAGAAUCUUCGAAAUUUUUUUUUAAAAAAAAAUAACACAUACCGACAUACGUCUAAUGUGUAUAACCAUAUAUAUACGAGAGGAUCAAGUUCGUUCAAUACCCGUGGGAAAUAAGCUGGUGAUAACCAGUGUCAUGAGUAAUAGCGUGAGUCUUACCAAGACUCCAUAGCCCGCAGGAGGUAGCAUCAUAUCCUGGCGUGAAUACCUGCCUCCAUUAGUGUUGUUCGUUUGGUUGCCGCAGCUACCUGCGUCAGCGGCUGCGGCAAUGUUUUGAAAAAUUCGUGUUCGUUUGGUUGACGCAGGAAGCUGCGUCUGAAGCUGCGUCUGACGCCGCGUCCGAACGCCGCGUCCUGCGGCUGACGCCGAUAAAACCCGCGGCUGCUACGUAAAUUAUGCGGCCGAUAACGUAAUUUACUAUUUUGCCCUCAAUAUGUUUCAGUAUUUACAAAAAUACCUAACCUAGAUUGACGCAGCCGCAUCUUGUUUUCCAAAUUGACGCAACCUUGCUAUCUCUCUCCAUCUCCAUCUCAGGCAGACCUCGAGCUCUCUCAUCUCCAUCUCCGAUACAGACCUCGAGCUCUCUCAUCUCCAUCUCACACAGCCACGAGCUCUCUCAUCUCCAUCUCCAUCUUCGACGUAGACCUCGAGCUCUCUCAUCUCCAUCUCAGACGCAGACCUCGAGCUCUCUCCUCUCUGGCGCAGCACGAGCUCUCUCCUCUCCUCCGAUUUGGGUUUCAAGCAUAGUUGAGGUAACUGUCACUUGUCUCUAUUUUUGUGUUUCAUAUGAGUUUUUGGGAGUAUGUUUUGGAUCCAAGAUCCAAGUUCAUAACUAAGACAAGAAGAAGCUGAUAGUGAUGGUCUUUGUUCUAAAGCAUUUAGGAUAUGGGUUUGUGUCUGAUGGGGAUGGUUUGCUGAUGCUUUUGUUCAUAACUAUCAGUUCCCUCUGAUACUGUAUUGAUAUGUACUUUGUCACAGCUAUUGGAAAGAAGUGCUUGAAGAGAGGCGUAAAAUCAACUGGGUGCUUGCAAAAACCUUGUGGCUAGAGCUUGUCUGGACUGUUGACUGGUGGGCAGGAGUAAAGGUACCCUCUUUUCCCUAUUUAUAUGCUACUGGGUUCUUUCUACUGACUGCAUUUGUCUAAGUAACUUGAGUUUUGGUGUGUGAGGAGUUUGCUUGUGUGACAUGUUAUGUUUCUCUUCUCAUCGUUGUUAUAAAAAAUCUCCUUCAAGGUCAUUAAAGGUUUUUGGGACGGCAAGAGUUGAUGGUGGAACCAUUUUUUUGCUCGAGUGCUUUGAAGUUUUCCUUGAUAGUGUGAGGUUGAUGUUGAUGGAAUAAUGANNNNNNNNNNNNNNNNNNNNNNNNNNNNNNNNNNNNNNNNNNNNNNNNNNNNNNNNNNNNNNNNNNNNNNNNNNNNNNNNNNNNNNNNNNNNNNNNNNNNNNNNNNNNNNNNNNNNNNNNNNNNNNNNNNNNNNNNNNNNNNNNNNNNNNNNNNNNNNNNNNNNNNNNNNNNNNNNNNNNNNNNNNNNNNNNNNNNNNNNNNNNNNNNNNNNNNNNNNNNNNNNNNNNNNNNNNNNNNNNNNNNNNNNNNNNNNNNNNNNNNNNNNNNNNNNNNNNNNNNNNNNNNNNNNNNNNNNNNNNNNNNNNNNNNNNNNNNNNNNNNNNNNNNNNNNNNNNNNNNNNNNNNNNNNNNNNNNNNNNNNNNNNNNNNNNNNNNNNNNNNNNNNNNNNNNNNNNNNNNNNNNNNNNNNNNNGCGUCUGCGCCUGCGGCAAUGUCCUGCGUCUUAGAAACGAACAACAAAUUGCGUCUGCGGCUGCGGCUGCGGCUGAGUCUGCGGCUGCAAAACGAACAACAACCAAAGGAACAGACGCAGCCCGUAGCCGCAGACUCAGCCGCAGCCGCAGCCGCAGGAACCUGCGUCAAUGAAACGAACAUCCCUAUUGUGGCCUGUUUACAUCUUGGGGACGAGUCAACUCAAUGGCAACAGGUCUCAGUGUGCUAUCAUCGUUGAGGAAGAAUAAUGUUCGAGAAGCAUAUAAGGUGCUAUCAUCCAACUCUCUCACUUUGUUCACAUACGGUAGAAGCAAAUCAUGAUAGUCCAACAUGAACAAUCUCUUGUUCUCCAGAGCCUGCAUGCACACAUCCAUUGAUAUUUAUUCAUUAUGGAAAUA